RNAcentral lists this long non-coding RNA (67170 nucleotides) under Brachypodium distachyon (stiff brome). RNAcentral's name for it is "long non-coding RNA (BDIS_LNC005147)". The stretch from base 34174 to 34309 matches the Rfam family "MIR1120/MIR1122 microRNA precursor family". Lineage: Eukaryota; Viridiplantae; Streptophyta; Magnoliopsida; Poales; Poaceae. The record is from RNAcentral.
AAAUAUGCAACCUUCCAAGGGGCUAAUUAUUUUUUAAUAUUCUUGUCACAUGCUCUUGUAUAGUGUGGUGGAUAGGUUUACCCCCAAUUUCCUGUUUUGGGAGAUACGUAAAAUAGAGAUAGGAUUAGAGAGAAAUAUCGAACACUGCACCUAUUGCAUAAUAGUUAGAACCAGAAGAUUUUUAUCAUGCUGAGCUGACUUCUCCGUGUUUUUCCUAUAGGCCGAAAAGCAGAUUGAGAUGUACACCAAACAAGGCUUCUCCAGCCUCCCGAUAUGCAUGGCGAAAACACAGUACUCCUUUUCGCAUGUUCCAUCCAUGAAGGGCGCGCCAUCUGGUUUUGUACUGCCGAUAAGAGAUGUGAGGGCCAGCAUUGGAGCCGGUUUCAUCUACCCGCUCGUUGGCACCAUGAGUACAAUGCCAGGUCUUCCUACAAGGCCCUGCUUCUAUGAAAUUGACAUCGACACAGCCACUGGGAAAGUCAUGGGUCUGUCAUGAGGUGUGCCCGCACCAUUAUCUGGACUGGGUUGUGCUGUUGCGAAAUUAGCUGUGUGCAGUUACAGUUUUGGGGACAGUUCUGGAGCGGAAUAAAUAAAAAGCCUAGUUGGCUUCCUGCGAUAGUGGGAAUGCUCUGUAACUUGAUGUCUGUAAAUUUGGUUGAACCUUACCCGAUUAAACUCUUGUUCCUGAUUUGUGCCCCAUGCUUGAUGGCUUAGCUUUCUGCACUUUAGUAUUUGACAGCGUUUCGGUUUUUGUACAUUCCGAUUCUUGCCGUCCUUGCAUGGUAGUUUUUGUUCUGAAUUUUCUUCGCAUUCCUUGACAUAAUGAUGGACUGGGUAGCUGCAAGUGGUGGCAAAUCAAAUAUGAAUUGGGCUGCUCCGCCCAGGCACGUUGGGCCGCAUCAGACGACAACAAAGAAAUGUCGCGCUACCCCUAGAAAGUAGAAACUAGAACGACAGAAGCUUCUAAAAAAAAAACUAGAAUGACAGAAAUGUCGCGACCCCCUCAAAUGUCGCGUUUUCUCAAAAUACACUGGGUGUUAAGUGGGAAAAAAUAGUUUUUUUUUAAAACACACACAAGAUUACAAGACGGAAAGAGCAAAGUCAAUGGCCGAGUCGACUACGUCAAACAAGAGCCACAAGAUACAUUUGGAAAUCGUCAGAGAGUCAAAGACCUCGCGGAUGGGGCGACGCCAGGCGCCCGACAUUGACAUGGUGGCUCACAGGCCGCCUGUUUCCUCGAAGGACACCGGUUCGCUUUCAUCGGUCAUGUACGCUCUCGAUCACUUCACUAGUCAAACGGGACGAAAUUGCUGGCUUCAUGGUAGCAACAGGUAACCGUUCACGACUUGGUCAGGCAUGCAUGCUAUUUGGCGAGCGCCAGCCCAGCGCCCAGUGUUAUGCUUGGCUCUGAAUUUGUUUGCACACGGAUGAGUCCGGCGUACUUCGCAGUAACAGCAUCAGUGUGCAAACAUCUCGUGCGCGGAGAUCAUUGCUUGGAUGUGAUGUGAGCGAUGUGAUCUUGGGGUACACUUUUAUAGUUUCUAGUGUGCUAAUGCGCCGGACCUACCAUAAUGCUGUGCGUUGCCGGCAGGGGCACGAGAUGGGCCAAAAGGUUUGCCUUCGCGGUCGGCAUUUUUCAGUGCAUGCCUAUGAGUGGAUGCUGGAUGCGUGGAGGAUGCCUUUACUAGUGCUGGAACUAGCUUCCUUUCUCUGUAAUCUCCAAUCCUGCCAAUCUGAAUGUUCUUGGUACGCCGUAGCAGGGUACUACGUCGUUGCAUAUGAACUCGGCGCAAAAUGACCCACGUCACGGUCUGGCUCUUUCUGUCCAAAGUUGGACUUCCGGGAGAUCUAGAAAUAGCGUUUCCUUAAACCUGACAAAACAUGUGUUUUUUUAAUCUUUCUUAAGCUCCCGCCAUCAUAAAGUCACGUACUCGGUACUCGCCGUCUGACUUCCCGUGAUUCGUAUUUCAACGCCUGUACAGUGACCAGUGAAAGAAACGCAUCUGUAAAGUUGGAUGCAGGAAUUGACCUCAGGAACAAGUCUCCAAAUAGGCCCAGAAGGAAACAACCUAGCAUGAACCGUGACUGCACGAUCCGGAGGAUUACACUUGACCAGUAAUAGACUAAGUUCUACCAACACACACCUUUUGGUCUUAAAACAAUUUCAUCUAUCGACGCUCCGUAGUUUAUUCGGGGCCAGAUCAUCCAAAGAUUGGGAUUUGUAUGCGUGGCUGGGUAACAUAUAUCGACUGUCCUUUUCUGAAGGCAUGCGUGGCUGGGUAACUUAAUACGUGUCGCAUGUUUAGUAACGUCGAGUAAUAUGGGUCGAUCCCAUAUGGGUCGGAGGGACCAGAUGAAGCCGCACACUUCCUUUGCAUGUAGUACGUCCUAAGUCCAUGGCACGUGACACGAGAGAAAAUUCAAACACAAACGAGAAGCGGACAACACGUCGAACUCGACGUUAAUCUGCGCUCCUUGCUUACAGACGAUCAUCAAAUGUCCUAAUUAAAUUGCCGGGCCACCAAUAUACAAGUAGCUCAAUCCGGCGACCAUAGAUGAACACCCCAAUCACAUCAACACCAAGUGUUUGCCCCACACCCAAGCAUAUAUGAAACAUCAGGGCUAGGUGGAGAGCUCACUCAGUCCCGGUACGAGACAACAACCCCGACGUGCAAAGGGGGGCUCAUCAUGCUGCAUGUGCUCCGAACCCGGCCCGAUCGAUAGCCAGCUGCCGGAAGGAGGCAGCGGCAAGUGGCCCGAGAUGGACAGGAGGCGCCAACCAGGGAACAUCGCAGAGGACACCAUGCAAACUCCACAAUCAGUUUGCCCCCUCCUUUCGCCGAUCGUGAGGGUUUCCUCUGUACAGCGACGUACGGUUCCUGAUCAGUGCUGGGUGAUGUCCCUCAGCUCGACGCCUCGACCAGUUCUGUUACGGGCAGGCUCGAUCUUGCUAGUCUUUGCUACCUUCCCUUCCAUCGUAAGCUGUCUCAUGUGUGUGUAAUUUGUUUUCAAGAAUGGUCCAACUUUUUUCUUAAAACUUUGUCAGUUACAGACUAAUAGGGAUACAAUCUUUGAGCAGCCAGCAGCUCGUCUACGCAGAAAAGGGCAGCAACCGGGAGACGGCCAAACAGCAUUUGACCAUGCACGCCACGUCACCAUCACUCACCAGAACAGAAUAACUACAUUUCGAUCAAGAUUGGCCGGCGCAGCCGCGCGCGCAUCGCUGCUGAAUCUUCAAUCCCGCGAUCAGUCGAAGUAAAAGAUCCAUCAAGAACUUGCAGGAUAUUCGGCUUUCUGAGGUACGACUCCUAGUCCACGCAUGACCGCUCGCUUCAGUUAACCCCGGUCGUAACAAACAUAAAUCAGGGCCGUCAUGAAGGUCUCGGCCUCCUUGACUGGAGUAACCGGUGCUACUUACUGGUUGGUCGGCGCGCCCCGGCCCGGAGCGUUUACAACCGGCAUUGAUGGGGAGCAUGAGUCAAGAAGCCGUGAUCCCGGGAGAAAGAUUUCGGGGGUAUCCAUGACCUGGGCCUCGUGGUGCGCGGUGGACUCAUCCAUCUUCUGGAAUCUGGAGUUAAAUGAUUCCGUCUUCACUGCGAGUCGUGGAACGGACUAUGCAUUCAUUCAUCGCUCGCCUCCCUCUUUGUCACGAGGGACAUGGACUGCGAUGCUGACCCGCGAUUCGUAUCUUGGUUCGUUCUUCUAGCGGAGAAAUCGUAACCAAAAUCAUUUUACACCCAAAUCGGAAUAAUAAUAACCAAAAAGCUGUAGCGCAGCCUAGCGUAGCGUAGGAACCAUCUUUUUCUCCUUGAACAAAGGUGAAAAAGACUUCUACUCUCACGUCAUUGAGAGAACACAAUGAAACAUUACUACACAAUAUGUUGUCUUCUAGUUAUCAUACCGUCGUACGAUUAAUACUUGAAUGGGAAAAAUUAACUAAAUGAAUAUGGAAAUGCGAAAUCUAGUACAAUGAAAAAGUCGUCUUUUGCGGAAAAAAAAAACUGGUCUUUCGUGUGAUUCCGUCUUGGGUCGCGGCGAGGAAGGCUGCGGCAUUCCGGCGGCGGUGCUUCGGCGACGUGCGGCCCACUGCCUCCUGUGUGCAGUGCACCCGGAAGUACAAAUGCACUGCAUCGGGCACGGGAAAAAAAAAUCUGCGCGGUGAGACAGGGAAAUGGUUGGUUUGAGGUGGAAAACAGAGGGUUGCAUAAUAGCAAAAAUUAAUAUACUACAUAGUAUAUUCCAUUAUUAAAUUUAUUAUUUAUGGUACAAUUAAAUAAUAUUGUUGGUACACAGUGAUUGAUUGCACCGCUUUAUAAUCUAGUUUAUCUUAAUAUAUGGGGUAUUUAAUCAAUGAAAUAAUAUUUAUUUUUAUAUAUUGAAAUUAAGUUUGCUAUCUAAAUGGGGGCGUGCACGAAACAAUAAGAACAUCGGAGUGAACCUACCUAGUUUCUUCCGAUACGAGGACCACCAAAGUGUUUCUUCACAGGUCCUGUUGUGUAUUGUGGGUGCUAGACAGGCAACGAUCACGGUCGGUGCUAUACAAUUUUAGUGCAUGCGCACGCUACCGUUUGUAGGAGCAGCUUGUAUUUUGUCUCAAUGCCCCAAAACAAUUUCAAUACAGAAAAAUCUUGUACGGAAUACUGACCGAGUAUCUACGCUCUUUUUAGUACUCUGGGAAGAGUUAAGUGCCCGUAUCCAUCUCACAAAGAAGAAAAUAAAAGAGUGCGAGUGUCAGUUAAGACCACAGAGUACUCCUGCACCAAUACUCGAUGGGCGGAUGGAGUCAUGAUUUCACAAAUCAGCGGUGCAGGCUCCCAACAGCAUCGCGGUAAGGGAACAGCGUCGCCGCAGUACUACCAACACAGCUUUCAGCUUACCAAAAGUGAAACCAGCUGUAAUUUUCACCCCGUCGCGGAACAACCACAAAUCAUCUGAACACAAUUUUGUUUGGAAGGCACGGGGAUUAAGGUUAAUAAACUCUAUUGCAACAUUUUAUCCUUUUAGCAUCCGGGAACGUCCACGUAUCCAAUCCCACGACAGACGCCCUACUACUUGGGGUUCUUCCCAUUUCUCGCAAACCACUUGGCAAAGCCACAAAAAAUCCCAAAGAACCAGAGGAGCGAGGAGAUUGAACAUGGAAAAAAAAAACAGGUGAGCGUAUUUACAACCAGGCCCUUCGCCGGAGGUGAAGACUUGACGACGAAGUCAGGAGCUCGACGGCGCCGGCGCCGGCGCUUGCGUGAAGCUUCGUGCCGACGAGAACAGCGCGGCGAACGAUGACGGCGGCCUGUGUUCCGGCGCGGCGGCCGCAAUGCCGCCGGCGGCGGCGGAGGCCGGGGCGGAGUUGGAGGCGACGCGCUCGCAGGACGGGCACAUGGAGAGGGUGGUCGCCGGGAGAUGCAUGUAGAAAGGGUGCACCGUCUUGAGCGCGCGCAGCUCGGCCAGCUCCUUCUGCAGCCGCCGGUUCUCCUCGGUGAGCGUCUCGCAGCACCGCUUCAGGUACUCGCAGUCCACCUCCGUCUGCUUCAGCUUCGUCCUGCACGUGCCAAAACAAAGGCAAAAACACUUAGAAAACGAAGAAUAUUUUCCCCUUUCAAAAGACUCUAAGGAUAGUAAGUGAGACAAUCUUUCGAGGAGCAAGCGUGGGCACCUUGCUCUGCGGUUCUGGAACCACACCUCCACUUGGCGCGGCAGGAGAUUGAGCUGCUUCGCCAGCGCCACCUUCUGCUUCUGCUCGCGACAGACAGAGUCACGGGAACGAACACACAAACGUCAAGGGACACCAAACAAAUCAAACAUCUCUUAAUUUCCGCGUGUGUUGGUUGUUCUGCUAUGUGGACGCUUACGGGGUUCAGGGUGCUGUGCUCCUUGAAGCUCUCCUCGAGGAACGCGGCCUGCUCCUUGGAGAGGCGCAACUUCUUGCGCGACGAGCCGCCGUCGUCCUCGUCGCUGCCGCCGCGCGAGCCGCCGCCGCCGCCGCCGCCCGGGGCACCAUCGCCGCCCUGCGCGCAGAAGUCCAUCGGGAAGGAUCCCCCGCUGUUGUUGGGCGAGGAAGACACGGCCGCGCCCGCCACCGCCGCCGUGUCCUCCUGCUCUUCUUCCUCCGCCGCGCAUGCCCAUGCCGAUCCCCCGGUCGACGGCGCCUGGUUCACGUCGAAGCCCCGCGGCGUCGACGCCUCCAAAUGCCCUGCGAAUUCAACAGAUCGGAUCGCCCCCAAUUAAAUACUGCUAUUUCACUGGCGAUCUCAUGCACAAAUCUGUAUAAUAAACAAAGAGAAAAAUCUCAUGCAUCACUCACUGCUCUCGGACGGCCACGGGAAGCCGAGGCUGGGCACCAGGGGCAGAAGCGCGAGCCGCAUCGUCGUCGGCUCCGGCGAAGAACCGCACCCCAUCGCCCCUAACCCCAGGUCCCUCCUCGCGCCGGCGACGACCUCCUGGUCCCUCCUCCCCCUUCCAGUCUCCUCCUCCCUCCUCUCCCCCGCCCCGACCCCAAGCCCGAGGACCAGCUCCCUCCCGGCAUCCGCCAUGGUCUCCCCCAAGCUCAGGCCCAGCUCCAUCAGACCAGAUCAGAGCCGUGCCUACCAAGAAGACGAUCGAUGGGAAUGGGGCCGUGUAAACGCCGCAAGGAUUUUCCGAGGUUUUAUAGGAGCGGGGAUAGAGACGGGACUCCUCUCUCGUCUCCUCUUCCCUCCGGUUCGUAUGUGUGAGAUAUAAUGGCGAGUUUGACCAGUUGACGAGCCCCCGCACGUGACCCGGGAAAAAAGGAGCGCGACGUGGUCAAUGCAAUUCGCGUGUUCGCGGGGGUGCUUUGUGGCAAAACGGCUUGGGAGGAGAGGAACUGGAUGGCAGGCGGUAAUAAUGAUCUUAAUCAUUAUCGGGGGCUCUACGUAUCUUUCCCCUUUUAUAAACAGCACCCGCGAUCUUUAUCAGAAAGCUGGAGACGCAGCAGCAGCUGCUGGCUACUACUCCUGCUGCUCCUCAGCUCCUGCAUGCCUCUCCGCUCUCCCCACACGGUUGCCAGAUUCUUUAUGAUGGAAUUUAUGUCUCAGGGUCGUGUGCGUUGGACUGAACUGUACAUUUGUGUAUCUUUGCUCGUAGGAUGCACUGCAAAACAAAAAUUUGGAGUCGACCUAGUGUUGUUGCACGAUGAGACAGAAAGUUUUUCUUUUCCUUUUUUUCAGGGAAGAUGAGACAAGCAUUGCGUCGCGUCGCGUCGCGCUGCUACAAUUAGUAGUAGUAACUCCUAUUUAACGAGGGGUAUUUCUUUGCUUUUAUGGUAUGGUCACAAAUCAUGGCGCAUAACUGCCAUGAAUAAUAGCACUAUCAAUUUGCAAGAGUUGCCCAAACAGGCGAAAUGAUUGAAUCUCCAGUACGUACGUACAGCAGUACUCCGUAGAAUAUUGUGUGUUUCUAUGAUCUCUUCUCCCGUUGGCCUGCAUGGAAGUUCAUGAUGGUAAUUAAUUAGUCCCCAUAAUUGCAUGGAGUAGUAGUACGUGGGGAAAACGAUACUAUCUACUCCGCAAAAGACCGUACGUCUGGCUCGCGUUUGUCCGCGAAAGACCGUAUGUCUGACGAUGGAAUUUUUCAUUCACCCCCCCACCCGGUUGCCUCGGAUUCAGUUUCCCCCGACGACCCGCCCCAACCCCAAAUCCCCAUCUUCUCCACCAACUUCCUCCCUUCCCGAUCCAAAUCGCAGAUUCCCGUCGCAGCAGCCUCCAAUCGAAGCCCGUCGCCGUCGUCCCGGAGUAAUGGCAGCCGGUCCUUAUAAGCUGCCGGGAAGCCCCUCGUGCAUCCCACGGAGUCAUCAAUGGCGGGGGGAGGAGCAAGCGGAGGAGCAGGCGGAGGCGCCGAUCCGUUAGCCAGGGCCAUCGCGGGCCCCGCGGCGGCCAGCGGCGCAGCACGCGGCCGCGGAUCUGGAGGCCCCGUCCGUGCUCGUGCCUCCAGGCCAGCUCGUCCGCCUAUGUUCCUGCCGCGGAGGAUCUUUCAGCGGAGGCAACGCGGGGCCAAGCUCGUAGACCUAGACGAAGACGAGGAUGGCGGUGGCGCUGCAGUAGCCGGCGAUGGCGGCGACGGUGCUGUAGCCGGCGAUGGCGCCGGUCAAGUUGUUGUGCAGGACGGCAUGUCCGCUGGCGCUGGGCAUGUCACCGAGAAAUCCUGCAAGUGGCGAGUAAGCUCAUCAUAUGAACGCAUGAUCUGUUGGAUGAUUUGCUGGAUGUUGCGUGUAUUCUCUAUGAAUCAGUCUUGCUCGUUCUUUUAUGGAAUAAAGUGGUGAUUUACCUUUCGUUUAUAAAGCUAUUUUGGGUGCACAGAUACAUGUUGGUGCACAAUUUGGUGGGGAAUGCUUUUUUCUUUUUCUUGAGAGAUGUUGAUGCAUGUUGUACUAAAUAAGAUUGAGGAAAAUGUUGUUCUUAUAACCAGACACAACUAGCAAAAUUCAGAACAAAGGUGGACAAAUCUGAACUAUGACAUGUAAUACAUUAUAUAGAGAGAUGACUAAAAAUGUAUGAUGAUUUGGUAGGGAUCCUCGGUCAAAAAAAAUGAUCUGGUAUGGAAAUCUGAUGGUUACUCCAAUCUUUUGUGUGUGAUCAGAAAAAGCAGUACUAAUCAAAUGUAUUAGUUUAAAUGGCUCUACACUUUUGUGUUACUCCAAUCUGACUUGUUAAAUAAAGAUGAUGCAAUUAAACUUUGAAUCACUAGAUGUAGAACUUCAGAUGCAUGAUCUGGUUCUGGUCUUCUGGAAAUUUGGGUUGUUUUUGUCCUUUGCAAAGGUUAACUAAAAAGUCUACAAAAUCUGGGAACAAAGCAUCUAAAUGUAUGACAUGUUUACCAGAUCUGGGAACAAAGCAUCUAGAUGUAGAACUUGUUAUUUUUGGUGUUUUUUGGGUUCUAGCUGCACUACACCGAAAACUGAAGAUUUUCUACACGAACUUGCUAUCUCUUUUACCAAGGAAGCUAUAAGCUACAGAUUCUUGCUCUCUGAUCUCAAGACUGAUCCCAAUUUGUGCUACCAGAAAUAAGCUGUUCACUUGUACUGUAAUACAAAAGUCCAAAAUUCCUGCAUCUGAUUUAACCAAAGUCCACCAAAACCAUCAAAGUUAAACAUAGGAAAACAACCAACCAUGCAUCUGACUUAACCAUAAGUCCAGCAUUACAAAAUGUUACCACGUCCACCAUUACAACUAGUCGACUAAGGUUUGUAGAACGCUCUCAUAGAGUUCAUGGUCACAACCUAGAACAUUAGGAAGAUUUCUUGUACGCUCUAGGCCAUCCUUGUACAUGUGGGGGAUCUUGUAGCGGUUGCCUCCAGCAAUCUUCAUGACCUCAAGCAAACAACUUUGUAGUGUAAGGAAAACCCUAUUGAUCUUAUCGGCAUCAUAAGCAUCAUAUUCUUGCUUCAGAUUGUUGAUUAGCUCAUCUAAAUUGUUAGAGACGAGUCUAGAUGACAUGGACUGUAGCGAAGAAAAUAGGCCACGAUCUAAGAUAUUCAUAUCCGGUGAGUUUGCAGGUUGUUGCAUGAGGCGGAUAUCAAGCCCUGUUUGGGCAACAGCAUUAGCAAAACCUGGGUCAUCACUUGGGACAUGUGAGGGUGCAUUAUCUUGUUGGAUCCAUAUGGUCUCACUGGCGAGCUCUUGGGGCCAAACCGCCUAAAUAGCAGGUAGUACUUUCUGGAUCAAAAACUGCCUCGACGUUUCCCUUUUAACUUUGAUAGUUUUGGUGAUAAGAGUCCUUCUUGGACGAUUACCACUACUCCUUGGCGCUGGCUCCUAAAAUAAACAAACAAAUGGUUGAGUGAACCAAAAACAAACAAACAAAUAAAUUUUAUGAUCAGGCUAGACUAAAUGCUGAUGUGCACAAUAAUUACAAAGAGUAAAAGUUGAAAUUCACCUUUUUGAUAAAGGGCCAAAUGCCUAUCUUCCCAUCAAAAACUUGCUAUUAAAACCAAAAACAUUACUUUGCCAACGGAGUUUUUAUUUUGCACAGUCCUAUGUGGGUCCUCUUCCGUUGGUAGCUUGUAGAAUUUCAUGGUCUUUUGGGUGGCGUUAAACCACUUCUCAUCUAAAUGGAUUAUGUUACGCAUGUCCUUGAAUGUCGGCCUAUUUUGCAAACUCUGUUGGUCAAACAUAGAGAUGCAAAACCGAAGCCUGGUCUUCUUGUUUGCUUCCCUCAAAUAUGGCUUGAGCGAACUUGAAUUCCUAUCCAGCAAGCCUUCCGUAAAAAUCUUAUGAAGUGUGGUUUUCUUCACACCCAAAGCUACUGCAAGACUACGUAUAGUUCUCCGCUGAUCCCGAGGAAUGUUAGGAAUAGCACUAAGGUCAACUAGAAUCCUCUUGCGACCACAAUUUUUUGGCUUCCUUGAUCUUAUAUCAACGAGUAUGCCUUGUUGGCGACACUCCUUCACUCUCCUCCAAAGACGUCUGACCUUGUACACUGAAACAUUGAAAAUGUUUGCAACUUCUUUGGUUGUGUUCUUCUUUAAUUUCCAAUUAUUACUUCUUACUAGUAAUUCUGCAUAAAUGCUGGACCUUUACAACUCUGUUAAAUUCUUGUAUUUGUCUUCAUCAUGUACUUGCUCAUUAUGGGCUUGCUCGUGCUGCACUUCCACGUCUUCUUUUGAUCCUGAAUCAACAAGCUCUUCUUCCUCAAAUUCAAUCUCUACAUCACCUGCAUACACACCAUAGUCGUCCUCGUCAACUUUAAGAUCUUCUAGAGCAUUAUUCAUUGCUUGUAGUUCCUCUUCCAUGGUCUGGAAAGCACCAUCUUGGUCUUCAAUCUCGUUGUCUACAAGGUGAGGUUAUGUGAAUAUUUGAAAAGUAUACUAAAUUAGAAAAGUAAGGUAAACUAAACUAUAUUGCUGGACUAUUUAUAUGCUACUAUGUGUGUCAUUGUUCCAGUUUUUAUAUCCUUCCCAACACUAUUUAUAUGCUAGUAUGUGUUUCAUUGUUCCAAUUGUAAUCUAAUUUGACAGUAUGUUGUUUUGACAAUAAAGUUUAAAAACUUGAACACAACAAUAUGUUGUUGCAACAGUAAAUAAUGAUCUGGAUCCACUUAAUUUUUUUGCUGCCAUACAACCAUACAGUACAGAUCAUUAUCUUUUCCCCUCUAAAUCUAGCUUCUGUACUAGCCUGAUUAGUUUAGUAACAUUGUAAUGAAACAUUCAAUUGUGAGUAGUUGUUUCACUAACCUGAUUCAUCUGAAUCUUGCAGAUCCUCGUCUCCAUUUUCAAUGUAGGUCUCAUGUUCAUCUUCUAUGUUUGGGUUCAUGUUCAAAUCAAAGUGAUGACCGGCCUGGAGCUCUUCUUUGUGUAAGGGUGGCUCAGGUUCAUCUUCUCCCUCACCAUGUGCCAUGUUCAGAUCAAUUGCCAUGGAGAGAGAGAGGAGAGAGGGAGGGAGAGAGAGAGAGAGAUUGUGUGUGUUUGUGUGAUUAUUUAGCUGGACCCAAAUGUAUUGAUGUAUAGCCGGGCAAGUCUUUUGGACUGCCCAAAUUGAUUUUUGGCGGCUAUUCAAAUUUUUGUACUAAUUGUAAUCUGGCGGGAAGUAAGCUAAUUGCAUUGCUAAUUGUAAUCUGGCGGGAGUCCUAGUAGUACUGCUGUGGCGGUGGCGGGAAGUAUUUACUUGCAAUUGAUGUGGAGUGUGCAGUAUUAAUUGUUGCGUGAAUCAAAGCAUGGAGUAAUGGAGGGGAGGAGGAGCUUUUCUGCAAAAUCCUUAAUUCCCUGGAAAACACCGAACGUUCUUUUGCGGACAGAGAAAGUAGCAAAAGAAUUCCAUCAAAUUCUUGCAUGUGUGGUGUGCUCCGGCCAGGGGCUGCGACGGAUAGCAGAUCGAUCGAUGGGGAAGGAAUUCUUUCUGCAUGCAGGCAUGAUUACGGCCAUCAAUUCCUCAUCCACCUCCAUGCAUCAUCAUCGUCAUCAUGUGUUGUGUGUGCCUAGCCGAGCUACCUGCGUGAUAUUAAGCAAUCGUGUUGAUGUGUACAUCGGGGACAAGCCGAUGGGGUCGUUCGCUAGCCGCAAUCAUGGGGCAUGAUGGCUGCUGCAUACGGCCGCCCGAGCUAGCACUGCUUGCUUGCUUGCCCGAGCCAGCAGCAGCAGCAUGCAUAUAAGCUUGUGGCCGAUGGAGCCUGCCCGCCUGUUCCUCCUUUCCUACGUACGAUGGCGAUAAUGAUGGUGGCCUGCCGUUGGCUGGCCGGGUGAUGCGCGAUAGAUGGAUGGAUGGAUGGAUGGAGGAGUGUAGUGCUGCAGGCGCAUAAGGAUGCAAUCAUGCCUGUUUGUAAUUGUACGCGUAGUACUACCCAGGGGUUCCUUUCGCAACAAAAGUAACCCCUCGGGUUUUCUACAAGUGUGCAAAGUAGGAAUCAUGCGUGCAUGGCCAUAAAAAGGUCAAAAGGGAUGGGCAGCACUAAUCCUCCCUUCUCUCUCUCGCGUGCCCGUGUCAUUUACCAGCAAAAAUGAAAAAGGAAAACAUACUCGUCACAUCAUGUUCCACUGUGGUUUUACAUCUGGGAUGGGUAUGUGCCUACGUGAGAAUUAGACCGUACGUGUAGCGCGUUUUAAUUCAGAGGGAAAAUGUGUAGGAACGUGAAGUAGACAUAUAUGCUUAUAUGUGGGGUAUCUCCAAAUUAAAAGACAUAUGUUGCUACUAUUUGUGCCGAUUGUGUUUCCGUUAUGAGUAUCUCAAUAAACAAUAUGGUGGUGAGAAAAAAAAAUGUUUCACGUGGGUUAGAAAAUCUCAGGCACGACGAUCCUUCGAGAAACGACCAAUGAUGGCAACAAGACACGAUGUUUGACAAUGGAGUUUGUGAACAUGUCUACAUCUUUGGGAGCCCCUACACAAAUAUUCUAGGCAGGGUCGAUUUUUAGGGUGUGACAAACACGUCGCUAAUGAAGUCUCUCUAGAGCAACAUUCAGUGCCAUGAGCAAGUUCGAAAUUUUGAUGAAAUUUCAAUGAUUUUUUUAUGAUUUUGGUGGGUACUAACAUAUUUUGCAUCAAAACUUCUGAACAGGUUCGUCAAACAUAACUCAAAAUGUGUAUUAAUUCGAGGAAAUUUGUUCGGAAUAAUUUUUGGUUUCUAAAUCUAUUGGUUUCUAUUUUAUUUUUGCGAGGACCUAAAUUUUUAGGGGGAAAAAAUCACCCAACUUUUAGGAUCUUAGUUUUCUACUCCCUCCUUUUUUCUUAAGUCAUAGACAUUUAUUAUGGAUGGAGGAGUAAAAUUUAGGGAAAAAAAACACAAUGCUCGAUGGUCACUACUUAAUGCUCGAUGUUCACUACUUACCUGUAAAUUUGCAUGAAAAAAAGGCAAAUAUAUCGAUUUACAGAGGUGUAUUGUUUGGUAUUAUAGAAUUUAAUUUUCCGGCAGCACACGGGUGAAAUAAUUACUCAUUAAGAUUUUUACAUGUGUGUAAGAGAUUUAUGUUCGUUGCAUGGGAUUUUUUUUUCAAAUUGUUCUAUAACCUAUUAACAUAAAUUUCUAUUAUUUGGAUCAACUAAUCCUGGGAGUCAGAACGCCAAACUACCACUUUUUUCUACUCCACUUUCAGAAAAAAAAAUUAUGAACCUUGUCAAAGGGUGGGGAGCUCCCGCAAUUCAUUUAAGAAGAAUAGAAAAACCCGAUUUAUAAGAAAAAAUAGACCGAAAAUCAUACAAGAAAACUCAUCCGGCCUAACUCAACUAGACCCAGAACCCAACACACCACAACACACUACUGCCCCAUUACGCACACGACACAAGAACAGCAACUCACGCGCAACAACACACUUUCGGAAUUAAAAGGCCGUGCUGUUACGGAGCAGGAGUACACGAUACGUGCACGGGGCUCCUUCACCGUGGCGUCCCAAACAGGCGUACAGUACCGCCGGCUGCGAAGCCGCGGAUGCAUGUGCCAUGCAGAGAAGCGGCACACGCUGCAUAUCACACAACUUUCCAAGUGUCAGGCGAAGCAAAGCCCCAUCAGCUAGCUCACCCUAAAUUCCUCCAUGACCAUGUUUCAGUUCAUGCGCACAGCGGCGGGGCCACUACAGGACGGCAUCACGUGCCGCGUGCCCCGUUUGCCUGCGCGGCUGUUCCGUCCGUCCACCGAACGACAUUUAUUAUUGGGUGCGUGAUGGCACGCGCGCCGUGGGCGUCCGCCCCCGUCGAUCUCAUUAAAUCGCGGCAACGCGACGCACAGGCAGCCUAGCUGCUUCCUUCUGCCGCGCACUGACCCGCGCGCCUGGGCGAGCGAGCGAGCGAGCGAGCAAGCACGGCAGGGCAGGCGCUGCUGCUGGUACUGCUGCUGCUUCCGUCUAUUUUGCCCCUGUCCCUCCCCACGUUACUUCCUGGCCCGCCCUCGUUUGCCCGGGAACCCCGCCCAUCCAGCCGAAAGGACACGCAGACGGCUGGAUGGGCGUCCGAUGGGAAAUCUUCAGUUCAGUGAUUCAGUCAGCAGUAGAGCUGGAAGUGUACAUAUACACGUUCACGGAUUUUACCGGAUUGAUCUACAGCUCCGUAGACGUCGGUCUGUAGACAAUACGUACUGGUACAACGCAGGCGUGCAUUGCGUGAUGUGAAGCCACGCUAUACAACUUGCUUUGGUCCGCCGUAUCGGGUACGUACGGUGAGCAAUGCAAGAACGUACUGUACGCCGGAUCGGCCGGCCAUGCGCGGACCCACGCUGCGCAUCGCACGGCCUCGUCAGGCUUGUCACGCCGGUGGGGGCAAAACGUCAAUUAUUUGAAGUCACACGUACAGCAAUCAAAGCCCUCAUGCCGACCGCGCACAUAUGGCUGGUACUACCACGAGUCGGACGGCCGCGACCGGCGCGCUCAGCGCGAAUUGACAGUAGCUACUGAGGUGCGGCUACGUUGCGUGGCACUGACGACACUGUUUUGCGGCAUGGCGUGUGAUUGGCGCCCGCCGCUGGCUUUGAUGUGGCGAGCAGCGAUGCACAUGACAGCUGGUGGGAGGAGCUAGCCAGAGCUUGACGAUCUCUUCUCUCUCGUCUCGCCGCCGCGCGGCCGGUCCCGUCGCAGUUGCCUUUUACUGGGAAGAAGAUCUUUGGUCGCGAUUCGCUGCCCGUUCCAUCUAUCCGUCGGGUCGGACUCGACGCGACCCCAGAGGCCAAUUUAGUGCUGCUGCUGCUAUGCAUUUUUUGUUGUUGGAAGAUGCUGGAAUGCAGUUGAGCGCUGGAGUUGGCCCAAGAAUCGGAACAGCGCACUAAGUAGGGAUCGCCUCCAGUUAUGCGAAAGGAAAAGAAAAUCAGAAGAGAAACUCGGGGUCGGGGGUAUUCCGGUCUUCCAGAAGCAGCAUACGCAGCUGAUAUACGCUACGGGAGAUACGUCUAUGUCUCGUUUCCAGGAACAAAGAGCAACAGUCCGUCCUGCGAUGCAUGCAAGAGCCAUGACAGUGAUAGUACCAAGUCACUGUUGUGAUACCACCACACGGCAGAGCCAGCAGCCAAGAGGAAUGGACCGUCGACUUGUGGCGGCGCCCUUCACACUGCCACUCGAUGACUCGAUCGAGAAAAGCGCGAUAGUUAAUAUGGAAAUUUUGUCGCGGCUAGUCAUGUUUUAGUGUGAAAAAUUGCAAGCAGUAAAUUCUUAGCUGUGUAUGGUAACUGUUUUUGAACUGUUACAAAAAAUAUCGUCCAACCACGUGAUGCUAAUUUAGCUCACCUACAACAUACAUAUUCCUGUUUCCUUGCCACGUACGAACCAUUACCGGAGCCGGCCGGCAAAUUCUGACCACAGAAUUAAGGUGACUACUGAUGGAUGGUAAGUAAUUUAGCUGUUGCAAUCAAUGGCACACAAUAUACAGAGUACUCCCAUUGCGUAAUUUCAGGAUUGCGCCCAUUCUCACGUGAAAAUGCAUUCACUCUCUCGUGUACACAGAGCAGAAGAAAUGUAAAAAAGCCAGAAAAAUGGACUCAGCUCUUUUAACACCGAUUGAUGUUAUAGCAGAAGAUUGAUGAUUGAUGUGACGGAGAGCAGGCUGGGCCGAGACACAGCCACACAGGUCCGGUUGACAGUGCCCCCGUCAGUCAGUCAGUAUGUACUGUUUCCGUCCAACAAUAGGUUGCAUUAGCUUUCUUUUUACCAAUGUUCUGGUCACAAAUUACUCUAUUAAUAUAUAACUAUAUAACAUAUAUUCAUAUUCAUUAUAUUUCUAUUUAAGGAUAUUUGAUUAUGAUUAUGGUUUUGAUCACAUUAGUCACAUAUUCAUGAAGUAAUUUGUAAUCAAAGUCUUGAUUAACCGAAUCCUAAUAUGUCUCGUAUUGUUGGACGGAGUGAGUAGGGCAAUAGGAGAAGCCCGGCGCCCCGGCCUGGAGGAGCUGUGAGUGCGAACUGCAAACUGGGAAAGCAUUUAAGGCCAGUUCUUUUCGGCUUUCUGGACCGGCUUCUUUGAGAAGUUGCUCUCCCCAGCUUUCUGAAGAAGCCGUCACUUAAAUUUGAAUAGGCUACCAAGUUAGUUUGGCCUAAACUAAAUUGAAAGUCUAACUAAAUUUGUGAUGCGGUUUCUCCAGAAAGCUAUGUAAGAGCAGCUUCUAGGAGAAGCCGGUAUUAGAAGCCGAAAAAACGCACCCUCGUACGUCGUGAACUUCGAGGUGUCCUUGUACUACUUGCCCGUGAUUAUGGGGCGGUACAUGCUGAGAUCCCGCACUAGUAUGCGAAGAUACUGGUUCGUGUAAUCCGCCAGAAUCACAUAAUCUUCAUGGCGGCAAAAAUCUUUUGGUAAGCACCGAACCCAAGAAGCUCGGCACAGUUCCGACAGUUUGCUUGCAAUUUUGACAAACAAAUGCCUACGCAUUCGGUACCGCCUACGGGAAAGAUGUGUUGGGUACGUCCAUACCUCGGUGAAAUAGUCUUACAUCAACAUCUUAUGCCCGAGGGCUCGAUUGCAGGGUAUGCAGAGCCGACCCACCUUGGAUCCUCACCGCUUCCUCGUCUUCUCCUUGUCCUCCACCUCUUUCAUGGUGAGAAUCAUCAAUAUGUUCUCGAGGUCGUUGUAGGUGACUUUGUCGUCCGAGGAGUCGUUGGACGACAACGACGACGAAUCCUCUAGAAAUUGUUUCGCGGCGAAGCUCAAUUCGAAAGGGCACGUCUGAAAAUUCAAAGAUCCACAAUUCGCAUGAACAAAUUCGUGAGAUCCCCAAUUUACAACUAACGGAAUCGGCUGUUGGGGUAGACGAGACACGAACGCUGUGAGAUCCGAAGAUUGCUGCCAAUGGGCGACGGGACACAACCGAAUAGCUAGCCCGUGUCCAGGCGGCGGCGAAAUCUGAGGGUGGGAGGUGGCUGCGGCGUAGGGAGAAAGAAGGCGCGAGCGGAAAUGUCCUAGGACCCAACCAUUUUUGGUAGGCUAUUGGUACCGAGACGAGAGGCGCGGGAAUCAUUGAAUAUGGCGGACCGAGGGGUCGUAGUCGGUACUACCGAAGAGAAUUUUUGGGGUUUCCCGAAUAUAACGUACGUGUUCGUGUCGUUUUUUCCGCCGAAAAUCGGAAAGUGACGGUUAUUUUGUGGAUUUCGCCGAUAUGCGGGAUCUGCUAGAGAUGCUAAUGGCGGAUACGGAGUGUGCAAUAUGCGCUGCUAUUACUGUCCACUACUGGCCUCUACAUCUGGCAGAAGCGUUUGGUGGUAAGAAGUUUUAUGGCAAGGUCAAGGUCGCCGAGCGAGCCCAAAGCGAAGAUCUUCAAAAUCUGCUAGGAAUUUAUGGAGCUGGGAGUGGCAGUGCCAUAGAUCACGGGGAGUACUACUAGUCUACUACAACUCUACGAGUAGUACGGAGUACGGCUAAACAGGCUGUGCAUGUCCAUCGGUUCUUUGCGCAUCACAUUUCUCAGUGCUUCUGCAAAACGACUUUUUAUUUUGAAACACUUCUAUUUUUUGCAUGAAUUUUGAAACACUUCUGCAAAACAAGAGUGUCUUUUUUUGUUCUGAGAUCAAUCAAAACGACUUGAGAGUUGAGAAAAAAAAAAUCCAACCUUUGACCCCGGCGUGCAUAGCCCAGGCCCCAUGUAAAACUCGCCCAAGGACUGAGCCCAGGCCGUGCCCCGCUUUAGGGCCCCUUUGAUUCAUAGGAUUUUGAAAAUGCAGAAACAGGAAAAGUACAGGAAUCGGAUAGGAAUGCAUGUGUAAAACAGAGGAUUCAAAAACACAUAAAUUUUGUAAGCAUGGGUGUUUGAUUAACAGGAAUAGGAAAAACACAGGAAUUCUACAAAACACGAUCAAAUUAAAGUCAAACCACAUGGAUUAGUAUACUCCCUUCAACAAUACGGGGCAUAUUAGAAUUCGGUUGACCAAUCCUUUGACCACAAAUUACUUCAUUAGUAUGUGACUAAUGUGAUCAAAAUCGUAACCAUAAGCAAAUAUCUUUGAGUAGGAAUAUAACGGAUAUGAAUCUAUGCCAUAUAAUUAUAUGUUAAUAGAGUAAUUUAUGGUCAAAGCAUUGGUCAAAGAAAAGCUAAUACGCCCCUUAUUGUUGGACGGAGUUACUCCCUCCAUCCAAUAAUAGAAGGCAUAUUAGGUUUCGGUUGACUAAGCCUUUGAUCACAAAUUAGUUCACGAAAAUAUGACUAAUGUGAUCAAAAUCAUAAUCAUAAGCAAAUAUUUUUGAGUAGGAAUAUAAUGGAUAUGAAUAUAUGUCAUAUAAUUACAUAUUGAUAAAGUAAUUUAUGGUCAAAGCAUUGGUCAAAGGAAAACUAAUACGUCCCUUAUUAUUGGACGGAGGUAAUAGUAAUUAGAAUGCACUCUUGUCUAGUUUUGUGUGAUUAGGAAUUUAAAAAAGAGGUAUGAGUGGAGAUCGAAAGAAAUUUUCGUCCACUUUUUUUUUACCCAAUUCCUUUAAAUCAAAUGAGGGAAUAGUGUCACCAAAAGAAAAUUUCCAAUCCCUGCGCUUUUCCUCCACGUUUACUAUGAAUGAAAGAGUACCUUAGAGUCGAAUAACCGGGUCCCACCAGCCCCGGAUCAUGCGGCCAUGCCAAGCCGGGCCCGCCAGUUGGCGUCGGGCCGACAGCACGCCAGGAGCAAUCAUUAGUACGGUCGCUACCGCUCCGCUCGAUCUCGCGAAGGGGCCCCGCAAUUAUUUCCCUGUGAUUGCCCCGGUUUUGCUUUGCUGCUUUGGUCCAUUCGUUGUUCCGCGGGUCGGGUCAGUUGGAGAGCAAAGCCGUAGACCCGAUCAGCGCCCGUGCUAACGUGACGGACGCGGGUCAGCUGCUGCGCUGGUUGACGGCGACCGGCGAUCCAGGUAGUACUUCUGAGUAUUGACCACUGUUUUUCGUAUCAGUAGUGUAAAAGUAGUAUCGGACUAGUCAAAUCAUACGGAGCUUAGUUAUAUAUACUAGUUAUAUGGUCAAGGGAGCAUAUAUGCAGGCACAGGAAAAUAUGCGGAACCGUCAGGCAAGAAUAGGACUGCCGAGCCCCCGCCUUGUCUGGACGCUUGUUGGCCCCGCCGAGCACGCUUCCUCCGGAGCGCCACAUGUGUGACCCGACGGCCCGACGAGCCGGCAUCAUCUCUCUUUUUCUCGAGGUAGCAUGGCCUGGUCGGGGCUAAUAAUUAUUGGACUCGAGAUCUCAUCCGCGUGUGGGCUGUGGCCAGCAUCUUGAUCUGAUCCGCGUUUGCCGGCCUGUUAGUACGGCACGGAACCUCGUGUCACGCGAGAAGGCCCCGUUUCCUGUCAGGCAAGUGAAAAGUAACUUGGGCAGUAACAUAGAUGCUAUGUAGGCAUUUUGAUGACAUGGCAUGACAAUAAAUGAAAAAAAAAGAUGGUAACGAGAUAUAUUACCAUAACAUCACACAAAUCAAGACAAUAUGAAUCUACGAGACAAUCAAUGACACAAUACCUGACACCACUGUCACCAGCCUUAAGACCGUCCCCCCGUUUGCAUAUUCAGACGGAGCAACAGGAGCAGAUCGGCGUGAAAACAGUCAGCACCUGAGCCACUCGCGUGACGAGUCACGUCCUCCUCCAUGCACAAUCAUGACCCUCAUUAGGCCGCGGAGGACCCGAGAGCGAGGGGAUUGAGAGAUGAGAGCCUGGUGAUAUGGCAUAACGGACAACGUAAUAACGGCCGCUCCGGUCCUACGAGGUGCGAUCAUUAUUGGUGCGAAAAUAAGAGGAACCUAAAGUAAGCUAAACAGCGAGAUAUAAACAAUUUUAAGUCAAACGGAUUAACGGAGCGAUUGAUCGAGUAGGUGCAUGCGAGCUUGCAGCAAGCAUCUGGAUCUGGAUCUCUCGCAUGAAAGAAACGGUUCGAAGAAAAUGUGAAAACGAAAUGAUAAGCGAUUUUUUUCUUUUUCAAUACGGACUAGAUGAAAAGCAUUCCGAUUCGCACUUUCUUUGACCAAAGAGCUCUCCUGUCAAGUGGAGCACCACGCAGUCACCGAGAAAUGGCCCGGUUGCACUUUUCUGUCCUUUACCAACCUUUAAUAGAUCUCUUUCUGGAAAAGCACUGAACUUUUGUUUGUAAAACUAAGUGCACAAGAUCACACUGGCACAAAUAGUUGAGCUACCGGAUAUCCAUCCAUCAAUGCAUCACUACGGUCUACGCCUCCACGGAGUAUAACUAUAAUGUGCUACAGUGCUACAGUGCUACUAGUUACUAGCUACGAAGUUUUGGCUGGGUUGGCAGAAUGGCCGUCUUCGUCUUCGCUUGUCUACAAUAAGGUAAGUACAGUAGUUAGUAGUAGUAUCUUCACUCGAUAGUUUUGCCCUUGGUGCUGUGAGGACGGGUCUAUAAUAUCAGCAUGUUGUCCAAGCAUGUCUACAAAAACAGAGCAAGAGAAAUAAGCCAAAAACUGUCUACAAAAACAGAGCAAGAGAAACAAGCCAAAAACUGUCUACUGUCGCAUCGUUCAUCUGCACGUGUGUACUAGUAGUGUUUUCCUGUGCCGUUUGGCUCGGUGCGAUCACUGAAAAUUCUACAGCCUUUGGUGUUCUGCUGUUUCUUUUUUUUUUUUACAGCUUUGGUGUUCCGCUGUUUUCUCGCGCUCUCUGGCGGCUCUUUCUUUUCCCUGCUGAGAAAACAGAGGAGAAGCCAAUUCAUUUGGAUGCUCUCAACAAAAAAAAAAAGCCGAUUCAUUUGGACCGUCAAAAAAGUUUGGUUUAUUUUCCCUAUGGCACCUAACGCUGAUGAUGACACUGUCAUGGAAAAGUGAUCGGGGAUCUCAAGUAAAUCCACGUGCUUAGCAAAGUAAUAAUGGAAAAAAUCAUGAUGAUUAUACUUUCAGGGAUGAAGAAGUUUUUAUUAUUAUUUUGACAAACUUCAACAGCACUGAUUUCAUGAAUCAAGCAGCAUGGAGUAAAAUAAAACGUCGUAAACUACUUCCUCUGGUCUAUAAUAUCUUGGUAUAACUUUGUACUAAAUCCAAUAUACUUAUAUGAAUCGGAAGGAGUAAGAAGUAAGAACUGGUGUAAAGGAUGGAGAAGUUUUCAACUGCGGAUUCAUAUCAUGAUCUUUUCCUCGGCAACGUUACUAUACUAGACCACAAAGACCAUGAUGACGUGCAUUAUUGCACUUGUCAAUUUUUCUGAUAGAAUGAAUGUAUGUAAUACAUAAAGUCAUGAAGCAUGAUGCCCAGUUUUCAUAAACUACCCCAUAUAUUUUAAAAAAUCGGAAAGAUAAUAUGGUAGAUCUGAAUUUGAAACAGGGAGGUAAACUGAGAAGAGGACAAUAACAAUAUCUUUUUUUUUGUGGGUUAUAACAAUAGUAUCUCUGCAUUGAAAAAUCUACAUCAACACCAAAAUCUUCAAACUGCUUGAUUGCCUGUUACAAGGCGAGUUGAUAAGAAAAUGACAUUGCCCAUAAAAACAAUUCAUAUAAUCAACCUAUCAGGCUGCGAUUUAUUACCAGAAAUAGCAUAAACACCAUUGUACCAAGAUAAGUUUAGGGGCAAUGGAUCACACGUCCUCUGAGCAAGUCGUCUUGAUUUCUCCACAAUUGUGACAAUUCAUGCCGACUGGAAGGUGUAAAAAGCCAAAAUAGUGAAACCUUAAUAUUGCCAUUAAAUGUGUGAUUGACCCAGCGCUACAGGAUGAACCAGGUUCUAGGGCACACGUCACCCGGCAAUGCGAAAUUCAAGGGCACACGUCACCCGACAAUGUGAAAGCAAUUAUAGUCGUCCACCUGUUGGCAACGCUAGCAGCCAGCGACCAUAACAAUUGAAUAUAAAAUCUAAAAAACACUAUUGACUACAACAUAAAAGCCGAUCCCGCCAAAAAAUGGUCCCAUUUGAAGCAAUGUGCCUGGUUGAAACCCUCCUUUUUCACAUCCGAUGCCCUCCUGUCUCGUGACCUUGAGACCAUCCAGAUUUGACCAUCUUGAUCUUCAGGUAGUUAUCAUUUUACUUCUCUAUAUAAUUGUCAACUUAAGUAAUGACGAGAGACAUGUCAUUGGAGAUGCUCGGUCCAUGCUUUAAACCAUAAACAUCCAUCUAUGCUCUCAACAUAUACCGGAAGAACACAUAAUUCUCCGUUUUGCCAUAGACAAUCGAUCAUCGCACUCACUAUUCUAGGACACGAUGAUAAAUUUUUAUGCCGCUUCAUUGUACGCGAACGGUAUAAUCUAUAUAUCACCACAAUUAACGAGCUAUUACUACUUUGAUCUAUUUGUCAAGGCGUGCGCAAAAUAAACAACUCCAUGUGAUGUUGUAUAUACUCGAGAAAUGGGUGGAUGGGUGGAUAGUCUAAAUAAGCACACCAAAAAUACCAAUGUUCAUGAAGUACUAUUUAUCUUAACAAAUAUUCAUAUAUGUGAAAAUAUGACUUCAUGAAAAUCGAUUUAAAAGCGCCAUAUUUUGGUACUGAAUAUUAAUCAUUCAUAUUUAUGGCUGGAUAUCAAUUACUCCUUGCUAGGCUAGCAAACAUUUAUUCGUGACCAGCUACCACGGGACCCACCCAUCCCUUCCCCUCCCUUCCCCCCCCUCUCUCUCUCUCAUUCUCUAAUUCUCUGCGCACAGUUGACCACAUAGCUAGCACAGAACUUCAGAUGGACUCGUCCUCCCCUCGUGCGCCCCGGUCAACCUUCCCAGCCACCGGGCACGCUCCAACCAGCCUCACAAAGCCUGCUGAAGACGAAGCAGCAGCGCAUAUGGCGCUCGAUCUGGUCAAGGAGAAGGAACACCAUCCCGUCCGAGCCGAACCUCUCGAGAUCAUGCCUUUCCGUUUCAGUUCAUCCCAGGUCGAGGUCGACGGCGAAUUAAUCCCAUCUGUCUCUAAAAAUACCACACCGUUCUUUCCUUUCUAGCCAAGAUUUCUUUCCCUCAGAUCCAUCCAUUUCUUUCCAGGCGAGCAAGGACGUGGAGGAAAAAACUUUGGACAGAACUACGGUGAUGAUGACCUCCAGAUCAACAGAGGGGAUCCGGUAUUUAUAUGCUCUAAAGCCCUACGUUUCACUUUUGCAUCUGUGCGCAUGUAUCGAUCUUUUGUUGCGUGUUUUAGAUCAGGUGAGGACUAGAGAUGAAAGGCUGAGUGCAGUCAAGAGUUGAUUGAUCUAUAUAACCGUGGUUUAUGGCGUUCUAUUUUGCAUCCACGUAGCCAAGAGGCUCGUGCGUUUGAUAUUAAAAAAGAAGACUACGGCUACUAGAGAACACACCGAACUGCUCAAUCUAGAGUUUUCAUCUGCGUGAACGAUUAAAGCCGCAGAACAAGGCAAUGCUGAUUUUGACAUUAACUGAAAUAAAUCAAAAGGAAAUUUAUGAUAUCUCAAUCAAAGAUUGUUCUGAUGUUUUUGCAAACCGGGCUAGCCCCAUUUCCAUUAACAGCUUGUUUGACACUUUGACUCCUAUUAUUUAGACCAUGAAUCCUAGAACCUAGUUUGGCUGGCACAUCGGUAUGAUUGGGCAUGUGCUAUUUACAUUUCUCGAACUCUAAAUUUAUUGUACUAUUCCUUUACCUCGGUAAUGACAAUCGAGUUAACCCUGAUUGGAAAAAUGUAGAACAUAUGCUUCUUUUGAUUUAAUUUUGGUAUCUAUGUAGAAUACAGAUUGUCGUCUAGCUGCACAAUUUAGACUACCAUUUCUUGGUUGGUACUUCGUGCAUACUUACUAUAUGUCGUAGAAACAUUUUGGGUACUAGCUUGGUACUACCUCUGUCCUAACUUUGUGCUAAAGUCAAAUUUCUUAAAGUUUGACAAGGUUUAUAGAAAUGUUUUACCAACAUCUGCAACUUCAAAUUAUAAAUUCGUCAUGCUAUGUAUCCUCAUAGUAUACUUAUGUUUUGGAAUGGAGGCAGUACAAUAUUUGGUAAGACUUAGUUCUCUUGUGUCUAGUUUUCGGUACUCAGCAUUGACAAAAAAUGGUUGUUUGUGUUCAUUUUGUACAUUUCUUCAUUUUGAACUGAUAUUCCAUAUGUUUUAUCCAGUUAAUAUAAUCCUGAUCCAUGUCAAUCUCGAAUUCUCGAUUUUUGUGUUAGUAUUGUUUUGCUAUGGAUUUUGUUAGUACAUGGACGCAAUUUUUCGAACUGCAAAACUAAGUAAUGCCAUGUUUCUCGUGGCAGCGAUCAAGCACUAGGGGAGUACGGUGGCCAGCCGCUGUUGAUGGAAGAAGUGCGGCGGUGUAACCGUGGCAAUGGCCGUGGCAGCGUGUGCAGAGCGAUCGCACACCCCGGCUACGUCUUGUGCUUGAGGCACGUCGAGGCCCGUCGCAAUAGCUACAACAAGUUGCAGUUAAAGAGGAAGCAGCAAGCCUCGGAGGCUGCAGGAGAUCUGAAGGACAAGCAUACAGCAGCUGGUCCACCUAAUCAUCUUUCAUCUCAGAUAGUACUCCUUCCGUCCGGUUUUAAGUGUCGCAAAUUUUAUCUAGAUACGCAUGUACCUACACAAUAAAAUGUGUUUAUGUACAUGCAUAUCUAGGAAAAAUUGCGACCGGACGGAAAGAGUGCUUGCUAAGACGGGCGAACCGGUAGUGGUUUAUGAUGCUACUACAUACUCCCUCCGAUUCAUAACAAGUAUCUUAGAUUUAGUAUUAUGGAUCGGAAGGAGUAUUGAACUGGCUUAAUUCGCCGAGAGGCAGAAGCAAACAGUAAGAUCGCUCCAUGGCGAGCAGAUGGUGCCAAUCAGAUGGAUCUUUUGCAGCGUGGGGGAAGUCCUCCUUUUCGAAAAAAAUAAAAUUGAGCCGUUGCCAGGGCCCCUUUUGUUGAUUUUAUCUCUAUGUGUUUGCUUUGAACUCUACUGUCUCGUAAUGUUGCUGCACACUAGGUUGUUAAUUUCUGGUCUCGCUUUUGCCCAAUGGAACGUAUGUUUGAUUCUUAGUGUGCACAAGCGAGAAAGGGUAUGCUACUGCAUCUGGUUUCAAACAAUGUCCAACUUUUCAUUGUAUUUUUCUCUAUUGUUACUCCUCCUCUUUAUUCAAAUUUGCUCUGUUUCUUUGUUGGGGAAAUUGGCCAGGAGACACCGUUAUUUUGCGGUCUUUGCCCAAACACCGUCCGAUUGUGGAUUUGUCCAAUACCAUUACCAUUUUCGGACCAAUUGCUGAAACACAACGCCCGUCCAGAAAAGGAAAAUCUUGUGAAAUUACAUUCUUACCCCCUUCUCUUAUUUCUCCAGCACAAACCGUUUCCCGUCACUUCCUCUUUUUUUCUCCAGUCACCCGUGAAGAACCCUAGCUGCGACCGUGCUGCUCCCGUCGGGCACUGCUGCCUCUGUGCGGCCACGCUGCCCCCGCUACUGCCCUUGCGCCCGUCCGCUGCCUGCCCUGCUCUGUCACGCCCAAGACACGUCGACAUGUUCCAUUUCCUUCAAAGAUUUUUUUGUUCGAUGAAAGAGAGCUUUAUUGAUAAUUUAUUAAGUCAUUGUAAUCAAACUCGGUGAUAUAGAUCGGUGCAGCCAACCAUCAAACUGCCGAGUUUAUGUUCCAUAGCAUUUCCUGUCUCUUUUAGUAUGUGUGAUCAUGACCUCAAUCAGAUUUUGUGCACUGGUUCGAAUUGAAGCAAAAUGCCGACAAUCUUUUUAAGAUUUUUUUUUCCAAAAUUGGCGCAUACCGUACUAACUGAAAGGGUCAAAAUAUUCAUUAGAGAAAAAAAAACUAUUCAAAAAAGACAUCCCAAGCAAAAAAAACGUCAUGAGCAGUCCAAAAGGUCAACUUUCUGUUUUUGCACUGACAGUGUGUUUCAUCAAAUGACCCAAAAAUUGUAAUGGUACUCAGUAAAUCCACAAUCGGGUGAUGUGUUUGGGCAAAGGCCACAAAAUAACGAUGUCCUCUGGCCAAUUUCCCCACGAGCUAACUGUCCGUGCAUUGCAACAGAUAUCAAAUAACCAUAACUUUGGCAUGUGGCAUUAUAACUGUAUCAAAUAACUGAAACUUUGGCACCAUAAACUAAGCUUCUGUAAAGGUAUAGCAAUUCUCCAAUAGACACACCUAUGGAACAUGGCUUGACUGCAAAUGAAACGAAAUUUUAUUCAAACAUUAGACUGCUCCCAGAUAAAUCACACUUCAUACGAGCAUUGGCGAAUUGCCAAGACCUUUGACUGAGCAGACCCAUAAAACAUAAACUGCUUCAUUUGGUACCAACAGCAGUGCUACAGGGAUAGCAUGCUGGCAGUCAAAUUGGUAACAGCUUUGUAACUACUUGGGAAGGAUAUUAUUGCUCAUCAACUACUCCGAAGUUCAAAUUUACAUCCUGCAGACACAAGGUCCUCGUUGCUACGAUGAUCUUCUCUUUCCAGCCAUCAAUUAAGGUGUUAACAGAAAUAGUUCUAUCGUUAACGUACAAUUUUGCAAGUGCAUAAAUCACAGAUCUUUCCUUGCAGAUGUAGUUUUCUCAGUACCGCCGAUCAAUGCACCAAAUUCUGGAAGCAUAACAAUUCUCCAAUGUGAAACUGAAGGGUCUCUUUUUUUUUAAGCAAACAGCAGGCUGGGCUGCUGAGUUUCAUUGCAAGGGGUAGAAAUACAAAAGGAACUACAACCGCUCGAGCAGAGCAACCAAAGGAAAAGAAAAAAGGGAACUACGGAGUAAAAGAAAAGCCGAAGAACCGAGGACGGCAAGAGAGGAACUAAGACACUAAUCUCGCGGCAUCAGAGUUCCUCGCCUGGCCAUGUUCCAGAGCUGAACAGCAUCAGUGAUCCUCAUCAUCUACCAUGCAAGCACAAACUUCGAAUAAGAUCAAAUAACUUUGAAUAAAAUCAUGUUACCUAAACAGAAAGCAUGCGUACUGUAGCAUAAAAGAAAUCACAAACUUUGAAUAAAAUCAAGUACCUCGAUGAAGACAUUGUUGAGGACUUUCCAAAAAUGAAGAAUCAAAUGAGAUAUAUACCUCCAAUAACCUUUUCAAUGAGCCCCUUCUGCAAAAUGUUGGGUGAGGGUCAAUAUACUAACACAGUAGGGAGCUUCCCUGCUGUUUUUCGUUAAAAAAAAAGAGGUCAAUAUACUAAUUACACGACCUGCUGUAAAAAAAAGAACUAAUUACAUGACCUUCACAAGCUAGAACAUGUCUCUAUGUUUUCUUCUUCUUUGUAAUAAACUCAUAACAGCACGACAAUCAUCAUGUGCUUCAGAUUUUGAUGGAGUGGUCGAUCCCAAUGGAAAAUGUUUCUGAAGAUACAGUUCAAUAUUAUUUGUCACCUCUCAUUGGAUGAUGUUCUCCAAUACUUCGAUGGAGGCCGCCGAGGGGCAGCAGUGAGCGUGGAGGAUGAUUGGUCAGGGUCGAGUCUAGCGGAGGCUGGUGGCUCACGGCCGCCGGAGGAAGAGUGCUUGAGCACGGGCCUUGCGGUUGCGGAGGACCACGGCACAAGCUAGCACGGUGCCACGGUGGAGGUACAGAACAGGCGACCUGCGCUGGUCCAGGGUGGGAGAGGUUGGCGCUGGUCUGUCAGCGACCUUCACCCUUCCGGCUGGGCUGCACAGUGGGCCAUAUCGUUCAUGGGCUACGGCCUGAUAUCAAAGCACGAGCCGCAAUACAAAUGUAAGGAUCUCGGCAACAAGGAGGUUUGCUAGGAACGGACUUGACGGCGGCUUCGGCCGAGGCGUGGCUUAGGGCGUGUGUUGCUUCUUCUUCCUCCUCGUGUUCCUCAUCUUCUCCAUGAAUCCUUGAGUUGUAACCAAACUAGAUGAUGAUUCAGUAAUACAAGUACUAGGUUCCUUACAUCUGGUAUCAGAGCCAACCAUCACCCUUCCCAGUCGAUCCCCACCAAAAAUCCACAAAUCCUCUUUCAAUUUUUCUCCCCAUCCACCAUCUGUUCGUGAGAAUGUCCAGCCAGCCAGCGCUUCUAGAUCGUGGUGUCGCGCUUGUUGUCGACUGUGCUAUUUACCCAAUCAGUGAAGAAUUAUUCCAUGACAUCUUCGAUCCAUAUGGUGUGGAGCAGAUGGUUGUUUAUCCACCCCUCACAUCUAAGGGAGUCACCUCGGUGGCUGCCCAAAUCCUCUUCUGUUCCCGACAAGCAGCGACACAAGCACGAAAGGAGUGGAAUGGCCAAUGCAUCUACAAAGGUUGCUGCUCCCUAAGAAUCUGGCAAGCUUUGUGGGACGUGGAGCCAUCGGCCACAUCGACGACUGCAGCCAUUGCAGCGUCAUCUGCGGCAGCGCCGGCUUCCUCCAAGCCCUCUGUAGAGGCGUCCGCCACCGUCCCGGUUGUGCUCGUGGUCAGCGAGGGCGGCGGUGAUCUCACAUCGGCGGCCAUGCUCACGGACAUCUCCACACCGGACAAGACUUCUGCUACAUCCACAUCGGGCAAUGACCUCAUUGUCAUGUCGCCCACCAUCUGCUCGACGAUAUGCCCUGGAGGCACGGGAUCUUCCCCAACAACUUCACCGACUCUCGUCCUUGUAGCUGUGGCGGACUCAACGGCGAUGGUGACUACUCCAACAGCGGCCACAACGACGGCCCGUGAGGACGAUGUCCACUUCGCGGCCUCCAACUCCUUGGUCCGCGCACCACCGUACAACGCAACGCCGAUGGCUGCCGAUCUCAUAGUGGCCGUGAUGCACAAGGUCGACGAAGAUGACCCCAACUCUGUCACCUCUGUGGCGCCCUCCACUAUACUUGACGCCAGCCACAACAUAGGCACCACCAACUUCAAUCUCAUAACACCGGCUCACUGCUUGGCUGUGUGUGUGGUGCAUAAGGGAGGCUCCCCUGUCGCCGCAUCCUAUAUCAGGGCUUCGGACAAGGACGACUUGGUCUCGCAGUUGAUCCUGUUUUCGCCAACCGCCACGACAAACUGCAUAGCGACCAUGGCAACUCCAGUGGUGGACUUGUCGAUCUCUUGAGUACUCUCCAUGUGUGUGGCACCGGACUCUAAAAUUAACGAUGGCUUGCAGCUGAAGCCUCCAUGGCCGUCACUUGGUUGCUUCUUUGGCAAUGUGUAUCAAGUACAACCAUGGCAACCACUUCAAAGUCUGCAGCAACAAGCUGUUGCAAGUUCAUCACUGGAUGGUAUGAUAUUUGAUUCUAAUCAGUCCUUGUUUCCUUGGAAUUUGGGUGGUUGCCUGCAUGGAAAUAGAACUCGAUUGUUUGCUAUAAUUGGCACUGUUAGCAGAGACUCAUCAUCAUUAUUAUUUUGUGAUGAAUGCUUGGGAUCACCAUGGGACCCGGGACAGCUAGCACUUGUUGAGCAUGAGUACAAAAUUCACUAUUCCAAUUGUUCUGUGUUCCUGACGGUUAACACGUUGCAGAAUUCAGUGACUGCUAUAUUCAAACAAAAGCCGUGUUGUACUUGGGAGGUAUAUUUCUGUGACCAACAAUUGCAAUGUUUUGUUCAGUUGGAUUCAAUUAGGUGGGUUCAACUCAAGCACAUACCUAAGCAAUAUCUUGGAUUAGUUGCCUGUGAAGAUUUUCAGUGGGCAAUCGCAUGGUUCUUUUCAUUAGAGUAUUCAGCUGUCUACAACAAUUGUCAUGGCUUUGCCUCAACCAAGACAAGGGUACUGACUAAUAUGCAUUACAUUCAGUUAUGUGAAGCAAGAAUCAUACUGGAGCAGUGGCCCUUUGAGCUGUGCUCAUUGAUUUACAUGGUGCCAAUUGAAUUGAAGCCAUCAUAACUUCAUAUCUGAGGACAUUGCAUCAGAAGUGUGUGUUGUUUAUUCUCACAACCCCAUGAACUCUCUGGGCUACUGACAACAGGUGCUGCACAUUUUGGUUUUCUAUAUGUUUCAUGGAAAAUCGCAUGGUUGGUAGUGGCAUUGUCUUGUGCAUAUUCAGAUUUGGGAAGUGGUGAGAGUCUCAUCAACAGGUAUAAGCUACUUGACUCCAGGGAGGAAUUGAUUUCAGCUCUGUUUUUCCUAGUCCUUGUUUGCUGUGUAUCAUUACAGUCAGCAUCAAAUGGCCUGAAAUUUUAGUUUGCUACUAUUUUAUACUUGUCCAUACAACCAACCCAAGUACAUGAAAAUUGGAGUGCUGAUUCCACAGAAAUGAGCUCAUGGAUUGAUACUUGUGGCAUCCUGAAGGCUCAUCAUAUCCUGCUGGGUGUUUUGCUUAUUGGAGUGCUGAUAGUAUGGUCACAUUUCACAAAGGGGGAGGAUUGUCAGUGACCUUCACCCUUCCGGCUGGGUUGCACAGUGGGCCAUAUCGUUCAUGGGCUACGGCCUGGUAUCAAAGCACGAGCCGCAAUACAAAUACAGGGAUCUCGGCAACAAGGAGGUUGGCUAGGAACAGACUUGACGGCGGCUUCGGCCGAGGCGUGGCUUAGGGCGUGUGUUGCUUCUUCUUCCUCCUUGUGUUCCUCAUUUUCUCCAUGAAUCCUUGAGUUGUAACCAAACUAGAUGAUGAUUCAGUAAUACAAGUACUAGGUUCCUUACAUGGUCCAGGGUGGGUAGGCAGCGAUGGUCUAGGGAGGGCCGGCGGUGGUGGUCGAGGGCUGGCGGCUGGUGGACAUCUAUUUUCCAUCGUUGUGGAUACGAACGAUUUUUUGGGAGACGAAUUGUAGCAGUGAAAAUUUGAUACGGCAGUUCGUUUUAGAUCUGAACUGUAAGAGUGGGUUUAAGUUUUAUUUUUGAGCUUAGAGUGGGUUUAAGUUGUUGUUUAGUUUUCCAUCUCUAAUCUGUGCCAUUCGUUUUAGAUCUGACGGCUCAUGACGAAUUUUCACAUUUGCACCAAAAAGUCAUUUUCACUGGAUAUGUUCCCUUCGUUAAUAAUCAUAGUUGCUUAAAAAUGUAUACACAGCGUAAAUUUAUCACUACAUAAACCCCAGAAAAUGGCUUUUAAAUCGAAGAAUUACAUAUAAAUUACAUAACCGCACUAACCAUGUGCCGUUGCUUACAUCACGGUCAAAGAACACCCUAUGCACACGGUGUAUCACCGGAACACCGGCACCGGCACGGCCUUGAGCGGCGUGACCAUUUUAAGCGACGUGCCAAACCGGUCCCUGACAUCCACGUCGGAUGGCUGCAUCCCCUUGGGCAGCCUCCACUCGAAGGCGUGGAGCAGGGACGCGAGGAUCAGCGUCACCACCCUUGUGGCCAUGGGCGUCCCGGGGCAUGCCCUCCUGCCGGCCCCGAACGGCAUGAACCCCAACCGGUGAUCUUUGCUCCGGAAAUCCACGUCCGUCGCGGCCGCGCCCAGAAACCUCUCCGGGACGAACUCGUCGGGCCGCGGCCACGACGCUGGGUCACGCAUGAUAGCCCACAGGUUGACGAUCACCUUGGUGCCCUUGGGCACCGCGAAGCCGCCGACCUCCGCGCCGUUGGCCAUGGCUUCGUGCGGCAUCAGGAGCGGGCUCGCCGGAUGCAGCCGCAUGGUCUCCAUCACCACGGCACGGAGGUACGGCAGGCUGCCGAUGUCGGACUCGUCCGGGUGCUGCUUCGAGCCUAGAGCUUCCCGCAGUUCGGCACGGACUUUUGACAUCACGGCCGGUUGCCGGAGUAGCUCGGCCAUCGUCCACUCCACCGUGAUCGAGUUCGUCUCUGCCCCCGACACGAAGAGAUCCUAUACACGCAAAAAAAAAUCUGGUCAGUUUGGUUUCGGGUCAACGGUAGUUUGACCAAAUGGCAUUGAAUUCAAUCAACGACUCAAGCACACAUCUUGAAAAGAUAAAAUCCAAAAGAUCAGUCUUCUCGCAUGAGGGAGAUAUCCGUUCAAUUUUACUAAUGGCAUCGCAUCAGUAAAAUACUUCCAAUUUAUAAACUCAAAAAUAAGAGUUCAAAAUUAUAAGUUAAAAAUAUAAACUUCCAAAUUUUAGUUGCUAGCUAGUAAUACAGGUUAACAUGGCGGUAGUAUAAAUUAAAAAAAAACAAUGUAGCUAAGACAAUGAUUUGUCAGAUGUAUGAUGGAAUUCUCCAUUGCCUAUUUUGGUCUUUUGGUAAUUUUUUUAGAAAAACGAUCUGGCUUUUUUCUCCAUUGUCUAUUUUGGUCUGUUAUUGAUCAAUAACUAAAGGCCUAACAAUCCGUAGCCCGUAAUUUGAUUCCUUAGUUUAGACAUUGUUGUUUUUAGCUAGGACCAACUUUAAUUUCUUUCCAAUUUCGUGCCGUUCCAAGAACUAGAAAGUCCACCGAGACGGCAAUACGGUGGCUUGCAGGGUUUGUUUAGAUUUGUUCAAAAUUUGUCCUACCAAAUUUUGAGCCAUGUCUACGGGCCGUAUCUAGAAAUUUAAGGCCCAGUACCAAAUCUAAAAUGAGGGCGUACAUGGAUUGGAUGAAGCGAGCAACUAGCAGUUUGUUUGCAAAUAUUUUAUUUAUAUAUAUACUCUGCGACUCAAGUCUCGAGAAGACGUUCCUGUGAAUGUGCGUGCGUUUGUGACUGUCGAUACGUGUGCACUUACGUUGUACGGGAUGGAUUAACGGCUUUUGAUAACCAAAACAGUCAAGAUGGCAACGUACUUACUAUUGUUUGUACGGACUAUGAAAACGACUGAUUACAUACCGAAAGAAAUGAAUUGAUCGUCUGAAGGCUGAGCUGAUCCUCGGAGUGAAGCUGGAGCAGCACGUCCAAAAAGUCAUCUUUCCUUCCACCUCGGCCGGUUUCCAUGCGGCGACCGAUGAUCCGGUCGAAGAAGUCGCUAAACCGUCUCAGGCGCCCCGCGGUCCGCCGCCGGCGUCCCUGCAAGUCCAGCGCGGAGAGCACGGGGAAGAGGUCCGACAAGUUGGGCUUGGUGACCUCCUCGACCAUGCCUUUAAUAAGCGUCUCCAGCUCCUGCGCCCGGUCGGAGCUCACGUCGGCCACGUCCUCUGAGAAGAGCACGUUGGACACGAGGUUGAGGACGCCCGAGAACACGACGCGGCCGACGUCCACGGCCUCCCCCGCGUGCGCUACGCGGCCGAGGCAGCGCACCAGCUCCCGCACCUUGCGCUCCCUCACGGCGCGCGUCGCGUCGAGGCCGCGGGCCGAGAAGAGGUGGCUGGCGCACACGGCGCGGAGCCGCUUCCACAGCGGGCUGGUGCAGGGAAGCCAGAUGAUGGAGCGCUCGUGGUUGCCGAGCGCGCGCCCGGCGUCUGUUAUGGAGCGCGCCGCGAGCAGGUGGUCGUGCUUCUGCAGGACGUCACGGGCGCCCGCCGCGGAGGAGGCCACGAUGGCGGCCGCCGUGCCGAGCUUCAGGGACAUGACGGGGCCGUACACCCCCGCGAGCCUCGCCAGGGCGUGGUGCGGCUCCUCGCCUUGCAGGUGGAAGAUGUUGCCGAGGAGAGGGAUCGGCGCUGGGCCCGGCGGCCGCCGUGCCCGUGCAUUGCUGGAGCAUGUCUUCGGGCUGUUCUUGCUGGAGACGAAGACUUUGUAUAGGACGCAAGAGGCAGCUAAGAUGUAGAGGAGCCAUAGUGUUGUGGAAGCUUCCAUCUUCGAUUUUUUAGCGAGUUAGGAACUUCGAUGUGCUAUGGCGCACUGUUGUUGAAUCAAUUGAGCGGUACGGUCUCUUAUAUAGUGGCGCAAGCAUUUUAUUUGGACACAUAAAACUAGGCAAAACCUAAAGAUCUCAGCUUAAUAAUAGUCGCCGAUGAUCGUAAACAAUUCUUAACCACCUUUCUCCAGCUGAAUUUGAGUAUCUGGAUUUGAAAUUGCCUACAACUUGAUCGACUUAUAAAUAUACUAUUCCCUCCUACCCAUAUUAUUUAUCUCAAAUUUGCCCAAAUAUGAAUGCAUCUAUGUUUAAAAAACGUCUAGAUACAUGUAAUAUUCCGACAAGUAAUUCCGGUCAGAGGGAGUAACUAUUUUCUCAAACAAUAUGGAAUAGUAAUCUCUGAACUAAUAACUAAAUUUAUGUACAUUGAGAUGAACACUGACUCUUUAUACAACAAACAUUGAGUUGAAGAAUAUUUUAGAAACGCUGUACAAUUUGGUCAAAUAGAAAUCCAAAAAUAAUACUCCCUCCGUCCAACAAAGGAUGUCUCAACUUUGAUCAAAUUUGAAUGCAUCCAUACACUAAGUCAUGUCUAGAUACAUUAAAAUUUUGACAAACUUGAGACAUCUUUUGUUGGACGGAGAGAGUAAUGAAAUUUAUGUAAAAUGAACAAAAUAUAAAAUAAAUAUAUGGAAUAGAUAGUUAGAAAGAUUUACACCCGCAUAUCGGACAGAUUCAACAGGAGAGGGAGGAAUGGAAGGUUUCUUCAGUAUCUUCUUGUUCAGUGUUACCGAAUUGGAGCAUCCGUAUCGUUGUAGCAUUUCGGUAACACUAGACAAAAAACUAUGAAUUAAAACAAGUCUUGUGUAGUGCACCAAUGCAAAAUGUCACAAUAGCAACGAGGUGUAGUAAGAGUAAAGUGGUGAGUGUGAAGCUUGAAUAUAGCGCACACUACAUAAUUCCACAUAUUAUUUUUGGAUAUCAUGAAGUCGUCUUAGUAAUGAAAGACUAAAUUCAUAAACUUAAACUCACUAAUACGUAUGUUGAAAGAGUACUUAUGGUGGCAUGAGAAUAUAAUAGGAGUAUCAUCGUUGUACCUGAGCUAUAUAUCUACUAGGUAAAAAAGCUUAGUUACGACGAUGAGUUUACGAUGCACGUGGGUGUCCGAGGAAAUACAUCCCGAGGUUACACCAGAUACCUCAUUCAUGUUUGUUACUCAGUGUCACCGAAAUAAAACAUCGCUACUUAUAAAAUACUGAGGGUUGUACCACAUUGACUGUAAACAUGAAACGUACGUGAAACGAAUAGUAAGUUUCAGACAUGAUCAAGGGCAACUAUUUGUAAAUCUGCGUGAGUCUAAAGAAUCCAAGCAAUGUUCAAGACCUGCACCGCAUCCAUGUUACCUGUUGGAAACAGCAAGUGUUUGAUUAUUGACUUGCCUCUGACUUUUUGAACAUACGAACAUGUUCCCCGGCCGCCCAUCCAACCACCCAGCAGAGGAUUCCCGGCCGUGUGAUUGGAUUGGAUCAGAGAGCUUAUCUGCCUCCAGCACACUAGCAAACGCCUCUCGUUUGAUUUUUUUAAAGCGGGGGGAGUGCACGAACACGAUGGCAAUACAAUACGAGCUCGCCCACCGGCCACCGGCCUAGCGGAGUCGUCUGAUUGAGUUGAGCGGAGACGACGGCAGCCGUGUCGCGCGCCGGCGCGCGUUGCGGAAGCCGACAUCGCGAGUUGAAGUAAACAAACGCGCGGGCGGCGGCAUGCUCUCUGACUCUGCCACUCACUGCCGGUGAGAGUAAAAAUACUUGGGCCAGUUUCUCGGUGGAACUGGAGUACUACUGGAGAACGACAGUAGAAUCACAAGAAGAUUAGCGGAUAGGAGCUGACAUAACGAGAUAAACCACUUGCCCCCAGUUGAGUUUUUCUAUCCCACAUGUGUCACUUAAAAUUAGCACAGUUGCAAAUCAGCCAGCAGGAAAAAGCUGGCAUGGGUAGUCAGCUGGAAACAAAGGUUGACGGCAAGGAAAAGCCCUGCGUAACUGCGUAAGCGGGGGAUGAGUACACACGCUAUCUCAAUAGAUGGCUUCCGGAUAGGCUAUUCGAAAUAAAAGUAUGUUUUUUUUUUCAAAUGAGUUUGGCGAAAGAGGUUUCUCGACUGGGCUCUGGGCUCGCCCAUUUUGCAACAAAUGGCAUAUGGGUUUUGGACCCAUUUGCUAACAUGUUCUGGAUGUGGCCGAAUUUGAGUUCCCAGGAUAAGGCCUUCCUUGUUCACGUGAAUUGGAUUUUUGUAGGACUGUAAUUUUUGGGAUAGACUUUUCUCUGUAUCAUUCCAGUUUUAUUGGAUGUACCCGAAGGGACUUGGGAUAUCUUUUUCUAUUUACGUUAUGCGAUUUGUCAGAUUGUAGUUCGUAGUUUUCUUUUUAAAAAUUCUCCUUUGCAUAAAUAGGAACAUAUUGGAAAAAUUCCUAUGGCCAUUACAAAUGCUAAGUCUUACGGCUGAGAGAGAAGGAGGUUAGCCUCCAUCACACAAGGAUUGUAUGCUUGGUUUUUGUGUUGUUUUCCUGACUUGCAUUAUCUUUUCUGUAGCUACUCUGUGCAAUUCUUUUUUUUAAAGCUACUCUGUGCAAUUUGUUUUUUGUAUACAGGCCAUGCAAAGAAAAAAACUUACACCUGUAAUGACAAGUGUACAGGAAUGCUCACUACAUCUAUCUUUGUUUACAACAAACGGAAGAAGUAUUUGAAAUCGGGGUAGAGCAAUAAAUCCAAACGCUUCAAACACGUCUCUAUUCUAUUAGGGUGUCUUUGGUUUGAGCCCAAAGUUGACCUACCAAAAAUUUGCCUAGCCAAAUAAUUGCUUAUGAUUUUGCUAGCCCAUGAGUUAGCCAAUUUUGGCCAAAACAUUAAACUAGAAUUGACUAUGGGACAUUAGCUAGCCAAAUAUUUGGUCACCAUCCAAACAAACACCAAAUUUUGGUUAACGAUCAAAAAUUUGGCUUGGUAUGUUUUGGAUCUAGUCCACAAUUUUAUGUCAAAACGACAUAAAAUUAAAAAAAAACUUAUCAUUCCAGAACAUGGUAUAAUUCCGUAGUGUGAAUAUUUAAUUCUAUUUUUUUUGUAGACGUGCAUUUAUAGCUUCCAAUUGUGCUGGUGAAGUGUAUAUGUGUAGUGUGGUCUAUUAAUUCUGCGUUUCUAAGAAACAAUCGUGCUGAUUUUUUUAUUACCUUUACAAUGUUCUAAUACAACAUACAAGUAACACAUACUGCUCCAUUCAACAAAACACCGCAUAUAAAUUUGUGCACUUUGAGUUUUCGGUCAAUACAACCUGGAUUCUAGUACCUAACCACUCAUAUUGGAUUAAAAGUAAAAUGUGCGUGAACAGUUAUUGGCUCCGUGCGGAAGCCAAGAGAGAAAUGAAGUAUAUGGAACAAAUGAUAAUUUUUUUUUGAAACGGAGGGAGUAUAUCAUUUCGGUUUUGCUAGAGAGAAGUCGGCUGAUUUUUAGUUAGAGAUAAAUCAACGUGUUGACCGUUAGAUCUUAAUUCAAUGUCAGUGUGUGGGAGGUGAGAAAAUAGGGAUGACAUCUACAUUUAAUCCAACGGUUCAAAUGCGUCGACUGAGAUUCAAGAUAUUUUUCUCAUAAAUCAAUCGACUAAGAAAUAGCCACGCCCGUAUCAUUUAUUGAGAGCUUUUUAAAUUGAUAUUUUUAGCGAGACAUCAUACGCAAUAAAUAAUCAAAGAAAAUGCAGGGAACGCGCAAUUCACAGGUCCGAUCACGAAGUCAAAUCUUCCGUGCGUUCCACCGGAAUCGGCACGGCCCAGAGAGGAGCGGCGAGCUCCAGCGCGGCGCCGAACCGGUCGCUGAGGUCAACAUCGCCGGGCACCAUGCCGUCCGGCAGCCUCCACUCGAACUCGUGGAGCAGCGACGCCAGCACCAUGGGCACGACCGCCACGGCAAGCGGCAUCCCGGGGCACGCCCUCCGGCCCGACCCGAACGGUAUGAACUCGAACGCCCUCCCGCGGAAGUCCACCUCCCUCCCCAAGAAUCUCUCCGGCGCGAACGCCUCCGGCUCGUCGCCCCACGCCUCGGGGUCCCUCCCGAUCGCCCACGCGUUGAUCAGGACGCGGGCGCCCUUGGGCACCGAGAAGCCCCCCAGCGUCACGCCGGGUUCCGACACCUCGUGCGGCAGCAGCAGCGGGCCCGCCGGGUGCAGCCGCAGCGUCUCCUUCACCACGGCCUGGAGGUACGGGAGGCUGGCGAGAUCGCCUUCCUCCGCUCUGCCCGAUCCGAACGCUUCCCUGAGCUCGGCGCGCGCCUUGGCCAUUUUGGUCGGGUUGCGCAGCAGCUCCGCCAUAGCCCACUCCACCGUGGUCGUCGUCGUGUGGCUCCCGGCGAUGAACAGAUCCUGAUUCAAGUUUAAUCGUGAGAAUUAAUCAAUCCCAUGAUUCCUUGAUCGUGUCGGAGAAUGUGAAGUACUCCGUGGUACCGUUAAGAGAGCUCUGAUCACCGGCCGCUCCAGCUGUGACUUGGCGUGGAGCUCGAGCAGCGAGUCCAGCAGGUCGCCGUGCUUCUCGGCGCCGCUGCUCAGCCGACGGUCUAUGAUAGCGUCAAAGAACUGGUAGAAUUUAGUGAGAUUCGCCGUGACCGCGGCGCGGCGGCGGCUGAGGUCGAACGCGCUGAGGAAAGGAAAAAGGUCGGAGAUGUUCGGCUUGGCCGUCUCCGCGACGGAGUCGGCGAUGAGCUCCCUGAACUCCUGCCCCUUGAGCGACGACGACGACGAAGACCCCAGCUCGACGAGGUCCUCCGAGAAGAGGACGCUGGACAUCAUGUUGAGCACGGCGCUGAACACGGGGAGCGCCACGCGCACGGGCCCGCUCGCGCCGCGGAAGUGGGCCACGAGCUCCCGGGCCUUGCGCUCCUGGAUGGGCCGGCUGGCGCCGAGCCGCCGGGACGUGAAGAGCAGGGUGCUCGCCACGGUGCGCAGGUGCUUCCACAGGGGGCUGGAGCUCGGGAGCCACACCAUGGAGAUGCCGCUGUGGCCCAUGACGUUGGCGUUGUCGGGGACCCACCGGUCGGAGACGGCGCCGUCCUUCUUGUGGAGCGCCUCAUGCGCUGCCGCCGGGGACGACAGCACCACGGUGGUCGCCGUGCCGAGCCUCAUGGACAUGACGGGGCCGUAGGUCUCCGACAACCGAGCGAGCGCGCGGUGCAGCUCGCCGGCGCGGAGCAGGUCGGGGAUGUUGCCGAUGACCGGGUACGGCGUUGGCCCCGGCGGCGCAGGCGCGCCGGCGGGGGGGUUGGUUGCCUUGUUCCAUAGGUAGCACAGCAGGGAGAUGCAGAGCAGUGAGAUGCACACUGACGAGAGCGUCAGAUCCAUAAUGGAACGCAAGAUCUGAAGAUGAAUUUUGAAGUUUUUGACUAAAGCAGGUUCCGUAGCCAAGCUGCCAACGUGAGUUAUCUAUGUCUGCAGAUCUGCACAUUAUUUGCCUGAAUUGUAUAUUUUCACAAGUUGCAAAGGCGUAAAUAAGUUGUUUCGAUCAAGUUGGGAAAGAAAAUGGUUCUGCGUCGCAGAGUCCUAGGGGUGGGUGUCGUCGGGUGCGAUCCAUCGGCUCUGGGCGUGCUUGCUUUGGUCGCGUCUUGGAGAGCUCCAUGAUCAUUAAGAAAGUGGAGGGCAGGUAUCAUGGCAUGCCGACCUCGCAGACGGACUUCACAGGAGCCUAACAUGAUGUUGAAAAUCACAUCGUCCUGCAUGUAAGAUCUCUGCAGCGGAUCAAUAACCCGCGUCAUCUUUGGCGGCCGAGGAGACAAUUGAACUUGUGCCUAUAUUUUUUUGACCGCCAUUUUUGGCAUCACUAGGAGGAAGAACCGUUCUGUGCACGAUGAUAUUAUCGAGGGGGCUUAGGUCUGCGUUUUAAGAGGCAAGAUCUCCAAUGCGGUUCAACUCGAUGAGUUUGUUCCCUUUGGUUGAGACUUCAAGGUGUGGUCCUAAAUCCUGACUCCUCCGAUUUCAUCAUUUGGCGUUGGACCUCGCAUGGCUCCUAUACCUCCAGCUCGGCGUACAAGGCUCAAUUCCUCGACUCCAUCCAUGCCCAACACGCUAACACAGUCUGGAAAACCAAGGCCGAAAACAAGUGCAAAUUCUUCGUCUGGCUUCUUGUGCAGAACAAGAUCCUCACCGCCGACAAUCUCGCCGUCAGGGGCUGGCCGCACACUCCUGGAUGUUCCCUUUGCACUGAUCCUCAUGAGACCAGCACACACAUUUUCCUUCGAUGCCUCUUUGCUCGCCAGGUGUGGGAAAAAAUCCUUGACCACUACAAUUUCAACAUCCUUCGGCAGGUCAAGCCUUCUGACUACAGAAACACCUGUGCCUGGUGGAUUCAAGUCUCCAAGACGAUUGACAAAUAAAGAAGACAAUAUUUCAAUGGGAUGAUCAUUUACAUCAUGUGGGACAUUUGGAAGGAGCGCAACCGCCGUAUCUUUCAGACCGUGGCAGCUCCUGCUUUUGUUGUCGCGUCGCUUGCCCGUGACGCAAUUGAUACCCAUAGGCUUGCUUUUCAUUGCAUGACCGUGCCGUGAGGUUUCUUGUGGUUCUUCGGUGUUUUCUGUCCGUCCUACCGGCUAGCUGCGUUUUGUCCGUUGGGAUAGUCUUUCUCUGUUUCGUCUUUGGUUUUUUUCCUUGUUUCGGUCUCGGUCGCAUGUACAUAUAUUUGGUUUUUUCCUUUUAAUAUUGCACGUCAGAGCUCUGCCUUCCACGGAAAAGAAAAAUUGCAAACGUGAACGCAACUAGGCAAGGGUGGGCGUUCUUGGGCGGAGUCGCAGUUGUCUACUGUUUCUGGAAACUCUGCUACUUCGCUACCGGCAUAAUAUCACAAAUCGAUCCAUAAAAAGGCGCCAUUUUGUUGAUCGCGUCUUUGGGGAGCUCCAUGUCAUGUGAGCAUUGAGAAAUUGGAGGUCCAGUAUCAUGGUCAGGCUGUGCAGUUGGACAUCCGAGCUCAGCUCGCCAGCCCGGGCCGAGCCAGCGGCGUCUCGGUCUGACUCAGUCCGAGCCCACCCGAAAGCCGAGCUACCAAAAUACACCUUCGGUUUCUUAAUUUAUGGUGUAUAUUGUUUUAUUUGACCGAAUGUUUGACUAAGGAUUACUCCAUCGAUGUGUAACUUAUGUGAUACAAAUCAUAGCUAUAACCAAGUAUUUUCGAAUAUGAAUACAAUGGUAUCAAUUUUAUUACAGAAAAAGUAUAUAUUUAAUAGACUGAUCCUUGAUCAAAGGUUCGGUCAAAAGAAACAAUAUAUGACUUUUUUGAUACAAAUCAUAGAUAUAAGCAAGUAUUUUUUAAUGUGAAUACAAUGGUAUCAAUUUUAUUACGGAAAAAAUAUAUAUUAAUAAACUAAUUCUUGAUCAACUACUCGGUCGAAUGAAACAAUAUAUGACUUAAUUUAAAUUUUUUUUAGAGCAAUAUGACUUAAUUUAAUGAACAGAGUAGCCUCGUUUGACCUUUGGGCCGAGCCAGGGCUCUGCGCGGUCGAGCCCGCGAGCCUGCAGCCCACCAAGUCACCAACACACAUUUGCACUUGCACUCGCACCGUCCAGCCCACCACACCGUCUAGUCCACGCGAGUUAGGGCACAGGCUUUCCCGAUUCGUUCGUUCUUCUUCUAUCUCCCCCCGCUGCCGCCACAGCUCGCAACCCGCCGCCGCCCGCCUGCGCCUGCGCGCCUCCGUUGGCAACCUGAGGCUGAGGAGGCUCCUUCCCAUUCGCCCGCGGCCCAAGCUGCGUGCCACGCCGCCGCCGUCGCGCCCGCCUGGUGGGGAAGAAGAUGACGGCGGUGCCGCAGUGGGUAGAAGAUGCCGCCUGCUGGUUUGCUGUGCCCCUUUUUUUUUUAACAACGAUAUGGUUUUAUUUAUUCAACAAACUUAUUAUAACUGAAAAAACUAAAACGACAACAAAGAUUUCGGAUAUACCGAAGUUUACGUCAAAAAUCUUUGAAGCCAACUUCUCUAGCUGCGUCAAUCACAUCUUGAUAUUUCUCCAAAUUUCUGGUGACAAAUUAGUAGAAGACCAAACCUGUAUAAGCUGGACUCACCUUGUAGGUUUUAGUGAGCCGCAUGAGCCGCCCAUCACAGGGGGUGAGAAUUUAAUAUCGUUGAACGCGUGGUGGCCGGGGACACAUCCCUCGCAAGACAGGUUGUCGAACCAUUAAAUCAUCGUCCAACCGAUAAGGAAGAAGAUCAAAAUUACGAAAUUACGAGCCAUGAGAUCCCAAAACUCCAUGGAGUAGAAUACGAUAGCCACGCCAGAAGGGGAUGGAGCUGGGAGACCAUUAAUCCACACGUCGUUGGCUCCGCCGUCAGGACAUCGCCGCCAAGGACACAGAAAACUUUACAACGAAGGUACUAAAACGAUGCCAGAUGUUGAUCCGUUGUUCCCCUCACCUCCUGAUGGCCGGCCAAUAAGAUAUCGGACGCGACGGGAACUGACGAAGAUGGAAACGGGAUUUUCUCCAGGUUUUUCCGUCUCGUCUCACGGGAGAGGAGAUUCUUCUGCUCUGCUGUGCCUGUGCUGCACUCCCCUGCGCGCCAGCUGACGGGCCGGCGAUGGGCCACUGGAUGUGCAGUAUGCAAGGAUGGGUGAUGGGCUUAUGGGCUUAUGGCUCUGCGAUUUUAUUAGAUCGGCUGACAACCAAUCUGCGGACUCGUAAAUCCAUAUCCAAGUCUAAGUUAAGACGUAUUAGGCUUUCCUACCAGAUGAUCGGCCCAAUUGAGCCGCUUGUGCGGGAGCGUACAGAAGAGGCCGCCUCUCACAACGAGGCUAGCCCGUUCGCGCACUCAUUGUUGGAGUUUGAGACCGGCCCAGUGCGGGCGGCCACAAUAGACUGUGUGGUCGCCGACGUAUGCACGGCGCGACUCCCUUCCCCAGUCGUUGGUCGCGGUCGCCGCGCGGCGUAGCAACAGUUCCCCAGUUUCCCGUUUCCCUCGUCCUCACAGAUUAUAAAGCACCUCUCGCUCGCCUCGACAGCUUCGGCAAACGCUUCCCCUUUCGGCUUGCCCAUGCCAACGGGGCCCCACAUGGAUCUCGAGGCGGGGCCUCGCGGCGGCGGCCCGGCGACCACCCCACCACCACCGGCCGGCAGAGAGACCGACGUGAGUAAGCAGGAGAAACUACCCGCCCUUUGUUCAUUUUACUCGCUUUUGGUGUUUUUUUUUUGGUCGAGUUCUCUGCAUCAAUUGGUGGUUUGGGCGAGCUGUCGCCCCGUGUUGUGUUCGUAUGCGCGGCAAACUUUGCGAUCGAAAGGUUUGAUUUAAGAUUUGUAGGUUUAAGCCGUUAGGCGUUAGCAUUUAGUGGAUUUUGCUGUACCUUUUGGAUGGCGACUGCACGAGAGAAGAAUAUGCAUAUUACCGCAUCUGCAUGCGUAUAGUAGCGAAGCCUGUUUGGGGGUUAAUUUAUGGCCAAAGUGGUGGGGACUUGUUCGUCUACUGAAAUUUUCUGAAUGCUUUUUUUUAUUGCGAAAAUUUCUCAAUGGAAUUUGGUGGGGGCUUGUCUCAGUUAUCAAAAGGAACAAAAAAUUGAUGGGGAUUUGCACUUGUAGUCGCAGAUUGUGUUGGAUUAUUGACAGCUCCGGCCGUGCAUGCCGAAUUGCCAAUGUCAUGUACUCCCUCUGAUCCUAAAUUCUUAACUCAAAUUUGUUCAAAUAUGGAUGUAUCUAUUCUUAAAAAGCGUCUAGAUACAUGUAAUAUUUUGAUAACAAUUUAGGAUCGGAGUGAGUAGAAUUGGCUCAAUCACUCGACCGCGGCGACCGCUGCGCAAAUCACUGUGCCAGCACGUGCCUAUUUCCAAAUUCUGUGAUGAUCUGUGCCGAUGACAACCACGUCAAAUCAUGUUGUCGCCUUGCAAUGAGCAGCUUAGAUUUCUCUUCUGUUUUGUACAUUUUCCGUGUGCCGUUGGACAGUGGGAUUUGUGAUAGCGGAAUAGUCUAAGGCAUGUAACACCACGCAAGUUGUUUCUCUUGACCUACUGGGCCAUAGAACCAGGGAAUCUUUUCAUUUCAUGCUACGUUUAUUCUGGAUGGUGCUAUAGAUUUUUCAGUCAUGUCCAUCCUAUAUACUAUCCCUGAGUUUUAGGAGUCCAUAUCUUUCAGUUGAAGAUUUGAGCAGAGGUUGUAAGCAUCUCUGUGUGAAAAAAAUUACUACCGCUAUUCCUUCAGUAUGAAACAUGCAUGGUAGCUAGGUGGAUUCCUGGGUCGUUACUUGUAAGCAACUAAGGAUAUCAGUUUGCAUUGAGAGACACAACAACCAACAAGAUUCCCUCCUUUAUUUCAUUUGCAAUAUAUGUGGUCAUUUUCCAUCAUUUUUUGACGGGACACAUCCAUCAUUUUUUUUCUGAAUCUUUAAUUUCUUAAGCUAUCCGUCCCUUUAAGAACAAGAGAAAAUUCAGUGUUAUUGAGGAUGGUUUUGCUGAUGAUGUCACAAUGGAUUACAUUUCCGUCAUUUCGGGCUUCAUUUUUCAUAUCACGGAAGUCUCUGAAACUGCCACACCAAAAGUUCAUGUUCACAUUUGUCAUAAGCUCCACAUGGUCAACUUGUUUGGAAUGGGACCAAUGACAUUCUCAGCACAAUUUAUUUCAAGCAUUAAAAAUGGACGUAUUUUGGACUUUGCUUGACUCCAUUGACGUGAUAUGCAGCUCUAUAUGAUCUGUUUGUACAUGUCUCUUCUUUAUGUUCCAAGAACAAAACUGAAUUUCAUCUGUCUGGUUCAUUCUUCCGUUAACUGUGAGCAGGUUGGCAAUGUCCGCAAAAAUCUGUUCCUUGCGUACAAGACUCUUGGUGUUGUUUUUGGUGGCCUUGUUACUUCUCCCCUCUACGUUUAUCCCUCAAUGAACUUGUCAUCUCCCACAGAAGCGGACUACCUUGGAAUAUACAGCAUAAUGUUCUGGACUCUUACUUUAAUUGGCGUCGUCAAGUAUGUAUGCAUAGCUCUCAGUGCUGAUGAUCAUGGUGAAGGUAACUAACCCCUUGCUAUUUCCACCUUUCCUUUUCUUUGAGCGGUUAUUGCUGCCUUUCUGGAUGAUUGUUAAAAUUUACAAUAGCUUGGAUGACAUUAUUUUAAGUACUAGAAUUAAAAGAUAAGUAGAGUAACUAGAAGUUAGUAAUCAUGUGACAGAACAAAAAGCUUGUAUCCCUAUGGAGAUGGAGGGCAAGGACUCUAGAUCCUCCUGGACCUAGGUUCAGCCCAAGCUUUCCAAAAAAUUUAUGUUGAUGAGAUAUUCAAGUAUUUGUGGCGUUUGCAUAUAUGUUCAGAUUGAUUUAUUUCCUAACCUGUAUAGUAUUAUUCCCAUCACUAUCCAACCUAUGAGUUAUGCAGUGUAGAUGCUAUGAUCUUUUAAUAUUUGUAUAGCCUCAUUGAAAGGGAAAUAUUUAAAUGAACUGUAAGCCUGGAAGAGGUGGAACUUACUGCUUUCUUGGAAUAUAAGCUUUAAUUUCUGGAUAUAGAUCAAAUGUUUUGCUUUAUAAUGUUAUCUGCAUGGAAUGUUGCUUAGUCUACUUUUUGCAGGUGGUACAUUUGCUAUGUAUUCUUUGUUGUGUAGGCAUGCCGAUAUAGGCAUCCUUCCUUCCAAGAGAGUGUAUUCAGAAGAUCCACUGCUUCAUGAUCAGUCAACGGUAGCUAGAAAGCCUAGUAAGCUGGGGAAGUUCUUUGAGCGAAGCAUAACUGCAAGAAGGGUAUUGUUAUUCAUGGCAAUUCUGGGGAUGUGCAUGCUCAUUGGAGAUGGAAUACUAACUCCUGCUAUUUCAGGUUUGUUUAUUUGUAGAUGACAUAUAUAAAAUUUAAUCAUUUUUGUGAUCAAAUAGUUAGUUAACAUUUUCUUUGUCUCUGUUCAGUGCUAUCAGCAAUUGAUGGACUAAGAGGACCAUUUCCUUCUGUUAGUAAACGUAAGCGGCUAAAUAGAUGUUGUAGCUAAUGAGUUAUGAAAGAACCUUCUGAUGACACUUUUCAAUGACAUUGAUACUGUUUGAAUCUUCCAGCUGUUGUGGAUGUGCUGUCUGCAGCCAUUCUUAUUGGCUUAUUCUUGCUGCAAAAGUAUGGGACUUCAAAAGUGAGCUUUCUGUUUUCUCCAAUCAUGGCAGCAUGGACUUUCACCACUCCAAUCAUUGGAAUAUACAGCAUUUUCCAUUACUAUCCUGGCAUCUUCAAAGCCAUUUCGCCACAUUAUAUUGUUCAUUUCUUCCUAAGAAAUAAAAGGCAAGGGUGGCAAUUGCUUGGUGGGACUGUUCUAUGUAUCACUGGUACAUCACAUUUACAUGCCCAGGUUGUCAGGUUUGUUCAUUUUUCCUGACUCUGAUCAUUCGGCCUAAUGUGUGAUCUUUUGCUACAGGCGCAGAAGCUAUGUUUGCAGAUCUCGGCCAUUUCAGCAAAAAGGCAAUUCAGGUUAUUAUCAUUAAGAAAUACCAGCAUGAUCAUUUCCUGACUUCCUGUGAAUUGUUUUCUAUGGUAUAGCUAGUUAUGGUUCAUUAUUAUUUUUCAGAUAGCAUUUCUAUCCAGCAUAUAUCCUUCUCUGGUCCUCACAUAUGCCGGGCAAACAGCAUACCUUAUAAACAAUCUCAAUGACUUCAGUGAUGGAUUUUACAAAUUUGUCCCUCGCCCCGUGUACUGGCCGAUGUUUGUCAUUGCGACACUAGCAGCAAUAGUUGCAAGCCAAUCCUUAAUAUCCGCAACGUUUUCUGUCAUCAAACAAUCAGUUGUCCUGGACUACUUUCCGCGUGUUAAAGUGGUGCACACAUCGCAACAAAAGGAAGGGGAGGUUUACUCUCCAGAAAUUAAUUACAUUCUGAUGGUAUUGUGUGUUGGUGUUAUCCUAGGCUUUGGUGGUGGGAAGGAGAUAGGGAAUGCUUUUGGUAAGGAAAUUCUGCAAAACUAAUGUUCCAGUUGUUAAUAUACAGCUACUUUGUACCUGAAGACUCGAUGCAUAAUUCUUACCACAGGUGUUGUUGUCAUCAUGGUCAUGCUCAUAACUACAAUCAUGCUCACUCUUGUGAUGAUCAUCAUAUGGAGAACACCGCAUGCUCUUGUUGGGCUUUACUUCGUUCCGUUUGUGAUCAUGGAAGGGUCCUAUGUCAGUGCCGUUUUCACCAAGAUCCCUGAAGGAGGCUGGCUUCCUUUUGCAGUUUCCAUGAUCCUUGCAUUGAUCAUGUUCGUCUGGUACUAUGGUAGGCAAAGGAAAACAGAGUAUGAAAUGGCGAACAAGGUAACCCUGGAGCGCCUUAGUGAACUCUUGGAAAUGCCUGAGGUUCAGAGAGUCCCGGGAUUGUGCUUCUUCUACAGCAACAUACAGGACGGGCUAACUCCUAUUCUUAGCCAUUACAUCAAGAACAUGAGCUCACUGCAUACAGUGACAAUCUUUGUCACUCUAAGGUACCUGUUGGUUUCCAAAGUAGAUCAACAGGAAAGGAUCCGGAUCAAGAGGCUCGGCCCCAAUGGGGUGUACCAGUGCACCGUUCAGUAUGGCUACGCUGACAAUCUCAGCCUCCAGGGUGGCGACGACCUUGUGGCGCAGGUCACAAGAUGCCUGCAACGGCACAUCAAAACGAGCACCGACCGACAGUCGCCUGCUUCCAUUGAGGAAGAGAUCGCUCAAGUUGAGGCAGCGAGGUCGGCUGGGGUGGUGCAUGUCCGGGGCAAGAUGAGGUUCUAUGUGGGCAGCGACGCUGGCUGUUUCGACAAGGUCAUGCUCCGGUUCUACGAGUUCUUGCAUGGCAUCUGCAGGUCAGCCCUGCCGGCUCUCGGGAUGCCUCUGCAGCAGCGAGUUGAGAUAGGCAUGUUGUACAAGGUUUGACGCCCUAUUAAUCAAUUGGGUUGUGUGUUGUCGUUUGUUUGAGUCGUUGUUGAUGUUCAUCGAUGAAAAAACAUGUGUUCAGGCGUUCAGCCGAUACGAUACGUCGAUACAUACAGGGAACUUGUAACUGAAAUGCCGGAAGCCCGGAUGGGAGAAAACUUGACAAAAAUGCUGGGACUGCGGGCAGUAUCCUGUUGGCUAAGUUUACAUGUUCAUGCAUUCGUGAUAUGCAACAAGCUAUCGUACGAAACCUUGUUUCCUAAGGAGUAUGUUAGUAAAGCGGGUUGCGAAAGGUAGGCGGUCACGAGGACAAAUAAUUUGCAUCCGAUUGUCUCAGUCUCUCUAUGGGACAAAUAAUUUGCAUCCCAUUGUCUCUCUAUGGACCUUAGCAAAGAGUCCUAGAUUGUCCCUUUGGCGUUUGUAGUAACAGAAUUUCAAAAAUAGAAACAAUUAGUAGUAACAGGUGGUGGUUCUGGCAUCAGGUCUUACUCCCUCCAAGUGUCUCGGAGUUAGUAACUAAGUAUGAGACACUUAUUAUGAAUCCGAUGGAGUAUUUGUUUGGAUUUAUGCUUCAUCUAGUGGAAUUAUUCAGACGACCAUCUCUUCUGAGGACGAUAGAUGGUGAAAUAAAAAACGUCUUGGUCGAUUGAUGUAAAAGACAAAUUGUUACAGUAGCGACACUAAAGCUUAGAUGGCGUGAUUGGUGGAAAACAAGGCUCCAAAAGCGACGGGUAAAAGCGAGAAAGUAGGAGAUACUGUCUGCAAUUUGCGCAUCCUUUCCCUUGUUGCAAACAUAGCACUCGCUGUAGCCCUUUUUCAGAAGAAGAAAUCAGAAAACAGGCUGCUGUAGCAGUUCACUGAUUAGCUGCCGGUAGAUGGUCGAUGCAGGUGUUAGCAGACUGAUCGCAUGGGUACCGUGGUCCAUUUUUCCUAACCGAGGACGUUUACAGUGUAGUGCAGUUCCAGAACGUUUCAGGUCAAGACAACUGCAGUCCAGACAUGGAGCCUGCCAGCCACAAAUAAAUUGCACUCCCGGGUACUCCAGCCUCCAGCCUUUUCCGUCUAAGAGGAAAAACUAAGAAUCGACUGCUAAUUUAAUUGCACAUCUAACAUCUUUUCUGAGAGAUUCCUUGUUUUUUCUAGUUGCUCUGUUUGAGAAAAAGAAAUUAAAUCGACUGCAGAUUGCUAGUAUAACAUCUUUUAUGAGAGAUUUUUUUCUUCUUUUUUCUGGCUGCUCUAUUCGAGGGGAAAGAAAACUAACAAUGGACUGCUAAUUGCUCAUGUAACAGCUUUUAUGAGAGAUUUCAUUUUUGUAGCCAUGUAUGCAUGGUCCAAUCCAAGGCCGCAUCCACCAUUCCACCUACUUGAAUUAUGAUAGAGAAUCUCUGCUUCUCCGUUGAACCGAUGACUUUGGGGGCAGUAGGUAAACUUGCUUUUGGUUGCUGUUCUAGGCGCCCAAAUUUUGCAGCGACCCGUCCUUGGUUUUAUUACGUGGAGCCCUUUUCCUUGGAUUUGUCUCACCUUGUCACAUGUAUGGGCAGCAAUAAUUUAGCCCACUUCUAAAAAAAGCAACAGUAGCAAGUAGGCAAUUAACCUCCGUUUCCAUUGAAAAUCAAAACCCUUAGCUUUCACACCAAGGGUAACUUUGGGCCCUUCAGAAAAAGGAGGAGCUUCUGUGGGGCAAGCAGAAGAAUGGAACUGCUGGAAUCAAAUUUAUGCACCAGUUUGAAUGGGAAUGCAUGAGCAGGAACUUUUGUGUUACAUGUCACUUCAAUGGGAUGUUAAUUUUUUUUAAAACCAAGCAGACUUUAAUUUGCAUAAAUAAAUCCAUAGAUAUUAAAUUUUAAGCUACUCACUUGUAUAAAUAAUAUUCAUUUUAUGAGCAAAAGUUGUUAAAAAACAUACGACUUUAUCCGAAGUGCUCGUUCUUUGUUCCCAGUUCUAGUAAGAGUUGUUUUUUUCUCGGCGUUCCUACGAACUUCCUGAAUUACAAAAUAAACCCAUACACCUUGGCGUUUUUUUUCCAAUUCAUUAAUAUUCUUUUCUGUUUCAAAUUUAGAGUUGUGUAAAGUGUGUGGAAGAAGCAAUAAUAUUGUUCUUCAAUCAUUUUCAUGAUUGUAUCUUUUUCUCGCGAAGGAUUAAAUGGUAUAUGUUUUACCUUCCUGAAGAAUGCAUGCACAGAGUCAGAGGGAACUGCAAGCAUCAAGAAUAGUUCAUUAAAUAUUUCUUGGUGACAUUGACAAAUGACAAAAUAGGAAAAAACAGCAAAAAAGGGCAUUGAAAAGAUAUAAGGACAAGUAUGUAUGAAAAGCUAGAGAUGGUAAAAGGAUAUCUAUAUGUUUUGAUAUCGAUAGAGUAAGUCAUAAUGUUGGGUCAUGGCCUUUAAAGAUGUGUUAUGCUACUAAACACCAAUCAAUUAAAUGUUUUGUGGAGGUGGGUCAAAUAUCACAAUUAUGUCAUGUGUUCUUCAAGAGCAAGGUAACCAGUCAAUUAAAUGUUUUGUGGAGGUGGGUUAAAUAUCGCAAUUAGUUUUUUCUAUGCUACACGACCAGCUCAUCCACUCAAUUCUGAAUAUUACAGUAAAAUUUAGUGGAUACGUGUGGCGGUGUGGUUAUAUGUUUUGCACUCGAUGUUUAUAAAAAGGGCUAAUUCACCUUUUGUUUUACCCCUUAAAUGUGCGGAGUGUCAACACUUAUAUGAUUUAAGGAAAUUCGUUUUUUUAACACUACCGCGUUUACAAAAGGAUCACCUGCUUGACAAGGAUGAUCCCACAUGGCAGGCCCGUGGAUGAAUGCCACGAAAGCCAAUGUCAUCAAGAUACUAAAGAAAAAUUAGUUCACUUCAAUAUUAGAAAGUCAUAUCUUACUCACUUUUAAAACUGAGUUAAAAUUAAAAAUUAUAUUUCAACUCGAACUUGUACUCUAUAUUUGUAACAUGCCAAAAUUUUAAAACCCUUCAUAAUGCAUUGCAUUCCAUGAGCAUCAUGUCACCUUGCAUUUCACCACAUUUAAAACCAUGAAAAUUAACUCAGAAAAUCCAAUAACCAAGUUUCUUUUAUUUGAAUCUUGCAUUUACUUCUCUUUUGCCAAAUGGAUUUUUGACCUAUUAGGGUGAUGUUAAUAAAGGUGGUUUAAUGCAUGUUUAUGCUACCCCAUAUUUGGUAUUUGAUUUUGGAUUUUAAACACUACAAAUUUUAUUACUUAUAAAGCCCUAAAGGCAAGUUUAUAGGCAAACGUAUUUUUAUAUAUUUUAUUUUGAGAGAAUUCUUGUCCCAAAAGUUGAAUCAAAUGAAAAUAUGAUUUUACAAAUUUUGUUGCAUUUUAUUUGACUCAAUUUGGAGCUUUGAAUCAAAAGUUUAGUUCAAAACCAGAAAAAAAGAAAAAGGAAAAAAAAAGGGAACCGGACCGACCCUUACUGGGCCGGCCCACCUACCGAAUCGCGCGCGCAGCCCAUCUCCACGCGCUCAGAGCCACCGUCGCUGAUAGGCGGGCCCCACCUGUCAACUUCGUCUUCGUGUCCAACUGCCGGCCGAUUUCCACCUCGAGCAUGACUCCACCCCGCGUCCUCCUCGCCCACGACCCCCAUCUUCUCAACCGAGCGCGUCGGUAUAAAGCUCCUCACCCCCGCAGUCUUUCCCCUCUCUCGCUCGACCGUUUCCACGCCGCCAGGCUGCCCAAUUGCUCGCCGGAGAACCUUCGGUCGCCGCCGUGUUUCUUGGUCGCCGCCAAUUAACCGGUGAGCCCUAGCCGCCAUCUUCUGGUUUUUCUUUCUCCUCUCUUCUUUGCGCACGCUGUGACGCGCUUCUUUUUUCUUCUUGUGCACUGUAACGCUCGGACCGCCGACGACUGAGAGCUCGCCGUCGCCGCCGUCUUCUCUUCGUCCUAGCGUCGCCACCGUCGCCCUCGAGGAAAACCGCCGCCACCAUCGUCUUCGCCUCGCGGAACUGCUUCUUCCCCAAGUUUCUCCGAGCCCCAGAACCCGCCAGAACCCCUCGCCACCGUUCUCCCGAGCCGCCGCCGACCUCGCCGAAACCCUAGCUCGCCGGAGGUAAGGCCGAAGCCUCUCAUCCGUCCGAUCUAAAUCAACGGCCACGAUUAAAUUUCUCUUUAAACCGAACCGGUACACAAAUCCGACCGUAGGAUCUCACAUAAGUUAGAUCCGACGGCCCGUGUUUUAUUUUACUCCUGAACCGGUACCGGCCAAUCACGGCUUGCCACGUGUCACCUGUUUAAUUAAAUGUUUAUUUCCCCGGCCGAAUUAAAAUGGAAAGCUUGCAGAAACACCCCUGGAUAUUCAAAUGAUCAUAACUUUUAAACCUUUUGGCCAAAAUUUAUGUUCUGCACCUUUCUGGAAUCCUCAUGGCAUGUAGAUUCUUUUGGAACUGUUCAAAUUUGCAUUUGAAUAACUUUAACAGAACCAAAUUACAGAAUGUUUAACUAUGGUUUGUAAUUCAUAUGAAAUGUUUAAAGUGCUUUCCCUGUCCAGUAGGAUCAGAGGGAGAAUUAUUUUUGUAAAAUAAUCUUGCGAUACCAAACUAUUUUGUCCAUACCUUCUAAAAUACUCAUUAAACUAUUAUUAAAUCUUGUUUUGGUUAUUGCACAAGUAGUACCUUCUUAAUAUGUUAUAAUCUGUCCAAUCCUUUGAAAAAAUUCUUUAAAACAGAAACUAAAUUUGUGAAUACUAAAACGAAGCUAGGAAUGCAUCAUGGUAAACUUUGCAUCAUGGCAUAUUCUUUGUAUUGAAUUGCUUGUUUAUGUGUAUUUGUGCUUGUUUAUUUUAGAUUGUUUGGAGUGUGAACCUUGUUGUUGCGAAGAGUGCGAGAACCACCACAGCUUUGAACAAGGCAAGUCACUUUGAUCAUUUCCCUAAUAUUUUUACUAUACACUAGAUGUUUUAUUAGUUGCAUUAGGAAUAUUAUUUGUAUCUCUAUCCUAGCUAUGAAUCCCAGGUAAUGUAGUUUUAUCCGUGCCAUCACCUUACUACCAAAUUGCCAUCGUCUGUAGAUGAGUGCUAUGCUAUGGUAGUAUUGUGGGAUAAAUUACUACAUCAUGAUAAUAUUGUGGUUAUGGUGAAAAGUUGUGUUUUACUUAGUGUAUGGCAAAACAACUUAAUUUUUAAUGAACCAUCCUGGGUGGGCGGUUUUGAGAUUUUGGAUGUUGUGCGACAUCAGGUCCAUGUCUGUGGGUCCAUUUCUAUGAGUCGUCUCGCCAUGUCUAUGGGAGUGCCUGCGUCGCAAAUUGUGGAAUGCCACCUGGGGUAACUAGAGACUGGACUAGUUUCCUGUUUAGUAGCUUCCAGUACAACCACAUGGUAAUAUGGGCUCUACCAAGAUUGAGUAAGCUGUUUGAACCUGGGCCCGAGGUGACCGUGAUGAUGUAGCCGUGUAGGUGGGAGCGGGUCCCUCGGUAUGGGUCUGGGGGAUUACUUCUGAAAGUCUUGUAAUCGAUGCCAUUGCUACUCCACCCUGAGGACAGCAAGGGAUUAACACGUCGAUUUCUUGUGGUUAAAGUGUACAACCUCUCGAGAGUGUCAAACUAAGUACUUAGCCGAGUCUCCGGUCAUGGACGAUUAUGAGCAGCUAGAUUAGGGAGCUGUAAGGAAAGUCCCACUCACUCUAAUUUCCUAAAAUUAAAAUGAAUAGUUUGAACUUGGGUUUAGGAGCAUUGAUGUGUCUACUCAAUGCCCAUAGUUUAAUAGGAGCAUUGGUGUGUCUACCCAAUGUCCAUUAGUGAUAAAACUAUUUGGUUACAAUGAUAGGACUAAACAAUUAAACUUUUACGCAACUAGCCUGAACUCCACCUUGCCAUAAAUAUGCAUGUACUUGUUAGGUGCUGUUAUAUCAAAUUGUGAUCUUUCCAAUACAUUUAAUGUAUUGAUCCUAGUGGCUCAUUGUUUAAUGAUACAGGAAGUUCUGACGAAGAGUAAGGGUACGUUUUGGUCUUUGGGUUGCGAGCCUACAUUCCAACACGCUACCACUGUGGUGUUGAUGUGGCUCUUGCAUCUUCGUUUUCCGCUAUUGAACUUUUCGUUUUAAUUCCAGCUAACCAUGUGGUUAUGCGAGUUUGUAAGUACUCUUAAAUUUUGGAUAUUGUGUUGUAAUAUUUGAGACACUUGUUCUAUGAUAUUACAUCUUGAAACUGUGUGUGCUAGUGAGUCGAUACAGGGACUAGCACUUAAGCACAGAGAUCGAACCAUUUUAUGGGUGCGGUCGCUUCAAUAUUAUAUAUCACCAAAAAAUAGGAACAAGAAUCACUCUGGGUUGAAGUUAUAAUGGGUGACUGGUGAUUUAAUAUUUAAAUUGUUUGUAUAAUUACUUCAUUUGUUCCUAACAUAAGAAAUCAUGCCGUCAAGUUUGACCAUGUUUAUAAAAAAACAUACUAAGAACGACAAUACUAAAUGAGUAUAUUAUGAAAAUAUAUAUAAUGGGGGGUUUAAUAAAACUAAUUUGGAGUUCUUGAUACAUUUUUCUAUAAUUGUUCGAAUUUGAAGAAGUUUAACUUAGGACAAAUCUAUGACUUCUUAUAUUGGAGGUAUUUUUUUUCCGGUGAGUUGGGGUCACCACAUGGGCCUGACAUGUGGGGUCACCUAUUAGGUUGGGAAGUUUCAGUGAUAGGGUACACGGAGAAAUUAAUAAAGCACAUAUAAGAAUGGGGAAAUAAAAUACUAAUAUUUCUAAGUCGGAUAAUGGUUGACAUUCUGGUCUGACUAGGCAUAAAAUAUGAACUUCACAACAUAUCACUAGUAUGUCUUCGCUAUCCAUGGGAAGUUUUACCCGAACUGAAUAAACAAGAUCGCGAAAGUGUGAGCACAUUUUAUGAUGAGAUGGCUACGGAGAGAAAACCGUUACAAUCGUUUUGGGGCGCAAGUAUUCCGGGCUCGUGUAUCCUUACAUCACCAAGUGACAGGGGUAGCUGACCAAAAGAUAGACCCCAAUUGUAACCCUCUGACCAAUGACAUCAGUAAAGUAGCAGCUAUCCGCAUAGCUUUGACCUCCUUGUAACAGACGCAAAUUCAUCAACUACGAAACGCAGCAGGCUUCCAAUGAGCGACCACUCACAAUAAACUCGUAUAUAUUCGUAGACUUUGAGCCAAAAACACUUUGAGGAAAAUGACCCGGGCACGUGACAGAUAAAGGUGUUUAAAGCUCCUCGACUAAACAAAGCAGCGCUCAAGGCCCCAAUUCUGAACUCGCCGACAGGUUUCGAACCAGCGCAACCUGCGGGGCGAUUCCCAGGAACAAACCGAUCGUAUCAGCACGAAAAACAAAAGCAGGUGAGGCUCAAAAGAGAGAGAGAAGAAAAAUACAAGAGGAGAAGGCUGAACCGCUGAAGAAACAAGCGCAAAGAAGAGUGAGAUCGGGCUACUAGGCAGGAAGGAUCGGCCAAAGCGAUGUGCAGAACAAGAACACAACGAAUCACGAGAAAAGCCCCCCCGCAGCCCCAACCACCCCUAUCUUUUGCUUUCGUUGCUUCGCUUGGACUUUGUACUUGUAUGGAUGAAUCCCCUGCCCCUCUCCCUCUCUUAUCUUAACUGACUUUGGCCGCGACUGACUCACUGACCCCAGCAAGGUCGCCCCCCCAAACAAGUGACGCAACUGGUAGUAUAUACAAGUUGUUUACGGGUAGCGGUGGACUUGGCCGCGCCGCUGCACCUGCGCGCUUUUGCUUUCUUUCGAAGGGGACACUUGGAAAAAGCUGUCCUAUUUAAGCCACGCCUCGCCCGCCGCUCGAUCUCUGCCUUCUCUAGCCGAAUUCAUACACAUCCACCGAAAACUCACAGUCUCACACUCACACUCACAGAGGUGACAGCCAUGGAGACAGCCCAAGAAAGAGAGCUGCUGCAGCUGCAGCUGCUGGGGUGGCCUUUCCACGCGGUGCAGGCUAGCUUGGACGCUAGCACUGGCUACACCUACAGCGGCAGUAGCAUCAGCAGCGGAGGCGGCGACAGCUUCUUCCUCGGAUGGGAGCCGCCGUUCGGCUGCUUCGGGGUUGUCGCCUCCGACGCCCACCUCCAUGACCUCUUCCCCCUCUGUACGUGUGAGAUUGGUAGCAUACACACAUUGCACGUUGGUGCUCUGUUUUCUCUUCAGCUCCGUCCGGGAGGUGAAUUCCUCGUUUGUUUGACUUGCAGGCUUGGAGUCGCUGCCGAUGUCGCCGGCGUUGUCGAUGGCGGCGGCGGCGGCUCUCCCGACGGAGCCCCAAGGCGCAGUGACGAUGCCCGGGGAGCUGGACGAACUCCUGGUACUACAUCCUUAUGUUUUGCUUCUUCCGAAUUAACUGCGGCGUGACGGCGUCGGGUUCUUUUCUUCCGCAAGUUCUCCGGUGAACCGGGGUCGUGUUAAAACUUGCUGAAAACAGUCGCUUUCUCUUGUGUUUCCGCUGCAGAAUUUCUGGGACGGCGAUGCGAGCGAGAAGCAGCCGGCCGCAAUCAAUUCCAGCUGCGUGCCGCAGCUGCACCUACACGAGAAGGGCAACAACAGCAGCAGCGCUGCCAUAGCCACUGCCAGCUCUUUUCUCCUGUGUAAGAAGUUCGAAUCCGAACUGACUAAUUCCCCUUCGUUUCGUUCGAUCAGGUCCGUUGUUCAGCUUUAGCUAGGCCUGUUUUUCUAGGUCCGUCCUUGGCCCUGCCCGCAUCAUCACCAAGGAGGCAAGGACAAAACACAAAGUCAUAGAGGUCGCAUUUAAUUAUGAAGCUUGUCAAUGCCACGCGAGUGCGUGGGUGGGGCCCGCUAACAAAAGAUUAGCAGCACCCAAUUGUUAUGACCUGAUGACGACCCUAUGAUUAGCACGAUCGGAGUAGGAUUAUACUACUACUCCAGUAAACAGAAGGAUUGCACUAUGAGUAAUACUAUUAUUGGAGACUUGAGAGCCGGGACAGGCGCUUCUUUUCAAGUAAAGACACGUCCGGGUUUUACAUGCUUAGAUGGUAGCGCUAGUGCUUGCUGCCCUGAUUCUAAUCUUGUGCAGUACUACUCCUGCUGCUCCUGUCAAGGUCGCACCUUUUACGUGAUUAGCUCAUUAUUUUAAAUUUUAUCAGUACGUGAACAAUUAAUUAAAUCGAUUGAUUUCAACACUGCUGCAGACGGCGAUGAUGAUCCUUUGAGCUCGAUUUUCUCCAAGGGCCCCGUCUUUACACCGGAGGAAGAAGCCGUGUUCCAGGCCCCAGCGCCGGCGGCGGAGCCCCUCGCCAGCUCCUCCUCCUCCUCCAGCUGCCACGCGGGCCCACGUGCCAGCGACGCCCAGCAGCCGCAGGACGCCGCCGCGCCGAGUGGCCCGCGGGCCCCCCGCUGCUCCACCUCUGCCUCCUCGUUGAAGCGCGCGACACCGGAAGGUGCUUUGCCAUCGAUCGACAGACUUCGACACGACACGCACGCACACGCUUCACAGUCACAUCCACUCAACAACAAUCCCCAGAUGAUUGGUCACACGAUUACAUACUAACUUUGAUUUGGCGUUGUUUGUUGUGUACUAUCAGAGUCGACGGAGGCGGAGUGCAGCCAGAGCAGCAGCGUCGUGAAGCGGCAGAAGAAGGCGGCGCCGGGACGGGUGGUAUGCCCGUUCGCGGUGCUGAAGCCGGACGGGCUGGACGGCGGCGCGACGCUGGCGGACAUCAACGCGCGCAUCCUCAUGCGGCCGGCGCGCCCCGUGCGGCACCCCGUGGGCGAGUACGCGUGCGCGCCCCGGGUCCUCGCGCGCGACGCGCCGGGCAUCUCGGGCAAGGCCGUCGCGGGCUUCACCAGGCUGCACACCCCCGGCCGCGGCACCAUCACCAUCAUGAGGACGCGAGGCUGAUGCAAAUUAAACCUAGCUUAACUAGCUUGCAUUGCACCGAUGAUGAUGAAUGUUGAAUUGUAGAUUAGCCCCGCUCAGUAAUGGAGGGAUAGCUAGAUGCUCGCUAGCUAGUUACUACUAGUCGGUAGUAAAUGACUCUACUACUACCUGUGCCAAGUUCCAAUGCCAUGUAAUUAUAUGAUCGAUUACAUAAGGAAUGAAUAAAAUUCUUCCUUUUUGUUCCGGAUUUAGUAUUUUUGAUCUUCAGCUUGGGGAGGCUCUGAAUUCUGGUGGACAGCUUUUCCUCGGAUCGUCGGUUGCCGGCCGUAGCAGAGCCGCGGACAAAGCCGGCUGGUGCCUCAUGCUCCUGUGCUCCUAAUAGGCAAACAGGUGGUGUUACGGCUGCUUACAAUCACAAAAAGCUGAAAGCAACUAGCUUUCCUUUUGUCCGUGGGCCUGCUGCUUCGUUCGAGUAGCCGCCGCCAUGGCUGCCUCAUGCAAUGCAUGGCUCCCGCAGAGAAGAAGAAGAAAUUCGACUUCACUUGAACAUGUUCAUAGCACAUUAAUUACUACGUGCUAGAUCAAACAUAAGGAACUUUGUUGCAACGCACACCCUCGAGUCUUUCGCUGUGCUUCUUAUUUUCGUUUUAUAAACACUGUUCGGCAAAGAGAAUACACGAAAGGACAAAGACGGUAGAGCAGGACAGAAAAAAGAAAAUCACCAAAGUAAGGCGAGGAGGGUAAAAAGAUUAAAAAUAAAAAUAUAAAGAAAGAUGAGAGGAGAAAGGAAAGCAUUUUAUUUGAGGAAAUAAAAGGCACGGGGAAGCACCUAAAGCAAAGUGUGCAACGGCUUCAUCAUUGUGGUCACGCAAAAGCAGAGCAAAGCAUGGCCGCUGGGCACUGUAGAGCAUACGGCAAAAACACAACGCUAAAACAGAGCCGGUCUUAAAAAAAGAGGGAGAAAUUUCGCCGUUCCGUCAUUCAAAUGAAUCGAGUGGCUGCCUGUCUGGUAAGAAAAAAAGAUCAGGCUUGCGCCGUGCACAAGAAUCCAGGAGUGAUGAUGCAUGCGCCAAGUCAACAGAGCAGUAGAAGAUAAGUAAAAUCGGUAGGAUGCAUGUCUGUUUGUUCGUGGGAUUUGUAGGGUACAGAUGGAUCUUGGCAAAAUUAGGACGUCAGGUGUGAUGAUUAUCGUCGUGGCUCAUGAUCAGGGCUGUGGUCAAAGCGGCUUCCGUGGCUGCCAGAUUCAUGACAUGCAUCAAUCAAACGGCGUGGGGAGGCUAUCUUGUUAGCAAGCAUGUGUGGGGCAAGUGUUACCGAAGUUAGGUCCAGCAUGCACCAACUUGAAUUAAAAGCUGCAGACAAGGUAAGCAGUAGGAUGGAAGCAGCCGAUCGUCGAAAAAAAUAUAUGAAGGUUUAGUUUUUAAGAUAUGAAAUUUAUACCACCAAAGCUGAAAAAAUACAUGAAGGUUUAGUUUUAAGAUAUGAAGGUAAGUAUGAGCCGGUUUAGUUGGGAAAAAAAUGAAGGUUUAGUUUGAAGAUAUGAAAAGAAAUAUUUUUUUCAGGUUUAGGUUAUAUCUCCGUCACCUGAUUUUUAAGGCAGUCGGCGUAUGAGAAUUGUUGGAUUUGUAUCUAGACACCAUUCCACUCUCUUUUUCUCGUCGUUUGUUCUAAAUCUUAAAGCACAAACCAUAUCCAAUGACUAAAAAAUCGAAUUAGAAAUAAGCGACUUAGAUAUAGCAAAAUUGUAAUUAUAUAUCUUCUUCGGUAUUAAAGUAUACUGAGAGUAAAUUUCAAAUGCCAAAUAUCUACGUGCUAGAGCAAGUUGCUCCAGAUCCAGACGUUCAAUGCUGACAAAGAAGAGAGCCGACAUGCACAACUCUUUCCAGUUGACCUACCAACAAGCGAUUGUUCAUUUGAUGGGCCAAUAUAUAUCCAACUAGCUAGAUUGUUACGACAUCUCUUUUUUUCUCGAGAAAACGCAAAAGCUUUGCGUCUCGAUGCAUUGAUAGAAAUAAGUUUAUGUACAAGACCAUAGAGGGCCACACCCGAAUUACAACGCGACGCGCCUAACUAGAGACAUCCGGUAGCAACGCGCCGAGGCUAGCAGCGCCCGCAGUUGCCCAGCACCUAGCAUCAGCCUUGAGCUGGUCAAAGGGGGAGGCGAAGUUGGGGGUUGCAUUGUCGAAGACAGCGGCGUUGCGGUGCUUCCAAAUAGACCAUGCCGUUAGCAUGAUCAGGGACGUUGUACCCUUUCGCGUGGUAGGAGGGGACGAGCGGAUGGACUCCUGCCACCAAGUCGCAAAAGGAACGCCAGCGGUCGGCGGGACGCAGGUGGAGCGGAUCCACGAGAGCAUGCCAAAGGACGUGGGAGAACGGGCAAUCCACAAGAAGGUGGUUCAUGGUCUCCAAGGUCUGGUCGCAAAGCAAGCAGCGUGGCGCAUGGGACAAGCCAUGACGUGCCCGUCUCUCAGCGGUCCAGCAACGAUCCAAUUCAGCUUCCAGGAAUCAGAGAUAAUCCCACCCUGAAAGAGGGCCCGAUAGCAGGAUUUGGAAGAGUACUGGCCGUUCGUGGCCCAGCUCCAGGAGAGGGCAUCGGGCAAGUCCGAUAAGAAAACGGUGCGGGCCCAACGCUAGACCUGGAUGUACUGCCAAAGAGCCAGCGGCCCAAGGGCCCCCUGGAUAUCGUGGAUCCAACGUCGAUCCGUAAGGGCCUCACAGACCAUGCGGGUUUUCCGAAUGCGCCUCGGGACAAGGAGGUGGAGGUUCGGAGCCAGCUCAGAAAGAGCCCUUCCAUCCACCCAACGGUCUUCCCAGAAUAGGGCCGUGGCCCCAUUACCGACCACCAUCUUGGUGGAGGCGAAGAAGAUGCUCCGCUCCGCGGGAGAGAACUGGAGGUCCAAACCACGCCAAGGUCGAAGGAGAUCAGUCUUCAUACGCCAGAGCCAGCGAGUGCGCAGACUGACAACCAGCCUGGCGAGGUCAGGGAUACCAAGUCCACCAUACCACAGCGGCGCAGCAACACUUCACCCAGCUGACAUGGCAGUUCCCAGCCCUGGCCUCAUCCCGACCCGACCAGAGGAAACUCCGCAUGAUCUUCUCAACCCUCUUCUGCACCUUACGGUAAAGACCCAACACAGUCAGCUGGUGUAGAGGCAUGGCAGACAAGGCUGACUUGAUCAAGAUCAGGCGUCCUGCCCCUGUCAUCAUACCCGCCUUCCAAGACGGGAGGCGGUCCGCAAUCUUAUCAACCAAGCAGUCGAAGGCCUUAGGAGACAGCUUUCGCAGUGCCAACGGAAUCCCGAGAUAACGGACCGAGAAGGGGGCAAGCUGGCAGCCCAUCGUGGUUGCCGCCUCCACAGCCUCCUCAUCAGAACAACCAAUCGGAGAUAGGGAGCAUUUGGUAAAGUUGAUGCGCAGCCCCGAAGCAUGCCCAAACAGGUCAAGGAUGCGGCGGACCGCCAUCAACUCCAAGCGAUCUAGGUGGCAAAACAAGAUCACAUCAUCGGCAUAAAGAGAGACGCCAGUAGACAACUGGCGAGUUGCGAGAGGUCGGAGGAUUCCCAGCUCAAAGGCCUUGGAGAGGAGCCUGUUGAGCGUGUCUAUCACCAACACGAACAACAUGGGUGACAACGGGUCCCCCUGUCGCAAGCCCGUCUGGUGCCAAAUCGGCGGACCCGGCUCCCCAUUCAGCAGGAUGCGGGUGCUCGCAGUGGACAAGAGGAUAGCGAUCUACUCGCGGAAUCUAGCCCCAAACCCCGCAUGCCGCAACACUGCAACAAGGAGGGCCCAAGAGACAGAAUCCAAGGCUUGGGCAAUGUCCAACUUAAGCAUGAGCCGGGGCUCCCGAAGCCGAUUGAGGAACCGGGCCGUCUGCUAGACCAACAUGAAGUUGUCAUGGAUGCACCGAGUCUUGAUGAAGGCACAUUGGUUGUCCCACACCAGAGUGCCCAAGCUCGGGGCCAACCUACCGGGCAAAACCUUAGCAACCAACUUGGCGAAGAAAUGUAUCAGGCUAAUAGGCCGAUACUCCUUCAAUGUUGCGGCGUCCGGUUUCUUAGGAAUAAGCACCAGUAAAGCCUGGUUCAAACCUUGGAAACGGCGCCCACACAACGAAUGAAGUUUGCCGAAGGCAGCCAAUACAUCAGAUUUCACCGUAGCCCAGCAUGUCUGGAAAAACUCAGCAGUAAAGCCGUCAGGCCUUGGCGCCUUGCCAGACGGCAUGUGCCUAACCACCUCCCACACCUCCUUCUCCGUGAAGGGGGCGUCCAGGUCAGACAGGUCGGCUCGCCUGGAAUCUAAGAAGUCCAGAUCCAGAGAGAAUUGACGAUCCUCCGACUCCCCCAACAGGGAGGAGAAAUGGUCAAACGCCUCCUUAGCCAUACCUGUGUGAUCGGAAAUGACCGUGCCCUCAACCGACAGGCCAUGAAUCAGAUUCCGCUGCCGCCGAAAGGAAGCGUGCUGGUGGAAGAAAGCAGUGUUAGUAUCUCCCUCACGCGGCUAGGUGAUCUUGGCCCGUUGGCGAGCAAUAGUGCGCUCGAGCGAGGCAAGACCCAAGUAGGCCAGCUUCAACUUAGAGCGCAGUGCACGUUCCAGUGCCGAGAGCAGCCUCGUCUCCACGGCGACAUCCAGGUGGAAAAUGAUCUCCCGCGUCACCAACAGUUGGCGUUUAACGCAACCAACCUGUUUGUAACGCCUUGCGGACAGUUUUAGGCGAGCAACCAGCCGUCGAAAAGGAUCCGUCUCUGCAAUGUGGGAAGCCCAUGCGUUAGUCACCACCUCAGAGAAACCCUCGAGUCUAACCCAAAAUUUCUCAAAUUGGAAGCGCCUGUGGCCGCAAGGACGUGGCGAGCAAUUCAAGUGAAGAGGGCAGUGGUCGGUAACCACCGUCGAGAGGCAUCGCUUCGAGCAGUUAGGGUGAAAAUCCUCCCAAUCAACCGUGCAGAAGACCCGGUCAAGCCGCACAAGGAUGGGAGCCUCCUGCUCAUUAGACCACGUAUAGCGGCGACCGUGCAGGUAGAUCUCCUUCAGCUCACAAUCAUUUAGAAAGCGACGGAAUCGUCCCAUCAUGGUACGAUUCAUAUUUCCAUUGCUUUUGUCCUCAGCUCACAAUCAUUUACGACAUGCGUUAAUUCCCUCUAGCGAAACGAUUUAAAGGACUCGUGACAUGGCGUUGAACAAACUUCUUUCCCUUCACGAGAAAUCAUUCGGUCCAUAGGUUUGGUGGGCGCGCGAAAUCUCACGAGUAGCUACUGCCACACCAACAAAUUGGUCUCUCUGCUUUAACUUGUUGCAAAGAAACGUGCUUUGAAUCAAUGCGAAUUGAUCAACUCUGACAAAAAUGCAUGCCCAGUUUUAAGCUGUUGCUACAAGGGGCUGCCGAUAUUACUAAGAUUUUAGCUAGGCAGUAGAACCGACAUCCAUGCUUAAUUAAUCCGUACACAUCAUAAUUUGCUAGCUCUUAAAGAUCUGGUUUCUGAAAGAUGGACGACGACAUACUGGCAUGCAUGCAUUGGCACGUAGUACAGGCAGACCAGGGAAAAAGUCGAGUUGAAUUGGGUGCAUGCACGUUGCUGACAACCUUAGUAGCGUCAACGGGCUGAUAACCCUUGCACCGAAAUUUAAACGGGGGCAUGCAGCUUGAAGAAAUGCGGGGAGUACAAUUAUCGCAAAUCAGUCAGAGAUCAGCCACUGGCUCCCGGUUCCCUCUAGCACUGUUACACAUACAAGUCAAACCUCAAUACUUUUUUUUCUUUUCGAUUUACUUCGAUGGCUACUUUUUUUUUUUGAAAAAGAGGGACCCCCCUUCUGUUUCCAUUUUUUAUUUAAAAAAAAUCGAUGGCUACAGCAAUUUGAAACGGUAGGUAGAGGUGUGUGUGGGUCGGUUAUCUGACCCCGUACGUGCAAAGCUUUACCAGGGAGGGCAAGCAGACAAGGAAUAGAGAACAGAGAAAGCGGUGGCACGAGGAGACACGGCCAGGCAUUGCGAGCCGAUCGAGAACCAGCAGUGUACCGUGUACGCAUCUGCGGGUGUACGUACGUAGUACGUGUAUCUGCGGGAGUUGCAGCACAACAGAUCUGUGUCGAUCGAAAGAGACGGACGUGAUAUGCAGGCAGAACCGCAGAAGACCCUAGCGGCCCACAAAUUAGCAGCUGGCGACUUUAUACACAGGUCUCGGGGGAGACGACACUCGGACAUGGAUCGGUUCGGUCGGUAUGGUUUCAAUGCUAUGCACGCCGGCGUGCCUGUCUGGCCGUACAGGUUGACGCGUAGUAGGGGAUUGGAAAACUGUGUUCAAUCAUUUAUACGAGGCAAAGCUUUUGCAUGCGUGCCCCCGGUUUCAAAACUACUCCAUUUGCUUGCUUAUAUUUACUUCUCGUGACAACAUUUAGGUGGCGGCCUACCGAGGUUGGUGGUAGCAAAGCAAUCUUUCUUGCCGCAGCUGCUCCAGUUUAUGUAUGCCAGCCUUGCGUGUCCCCCUGACUCCUGACCCUGAGACGAGACGAGGAAAUGAACUGCGGGUCAAACGAUCGAUGUCAAAAGCUGAGAGGCGGCGGAGAUGCUAGCAUGGACAGAGAUAUCAAUUGGCGUCCUUCAUCGGUGCUUAGGGAGCAGAAGUGUACUUAUAUUUGCAGCGUUAUUAGGGAGCAGGACAACAUGCCUGCAAAGCAAAAAAAAAAACUAACAAAAUGUGGUGUGGUGUAUUUACCGCUCUCUGUCUUAAGGGGGGCGUCAGGUGGUGGCGCUCUAGCUAGUGCAGAGUUCACCGGGAACGGAAUCUGGCAGACAGUAGUGAAAAAUCAUAAUUGAGAAAAUGCGGUGGAAAUCAGUAGUGCAUCAGAAACCGGUAAUAAAGUGCAGUAGAAAUCAUUGUAAAUUUGGGUAGAGAAAAAGUAGAGUGGAAAACUGCAGCUGAGAAAGUGCAGCAAAAACCAGCAGAAACUAUUGAAAAAGUGCAGUGAAAACUAGUUACAAAAUUGCAAUUAAAAUAGUCAGUAGAAGCCAAUGAAUAAGUGUAGUACAGAAGGGAAAAAAAUGUUGCAAUUGAGAAAAUUUAUGGUAGAACUUAGUGCAAAAAGUGUACUACUAACAACAGUAAAAACUAGUGUAAGAUAUUAAAUUUUAAGACAAGAAAAUACCAAACAUAUAGUAUAUUAGAUGUUCUAACAAGAAAGUUACCAUAAACAGAAAGUGUUUACAUAAAUUUUUUAGGCAGACGAACUUCCUAUUAGUAUUCCUCUUAUGAAAUGAAUAAAAUACACCGCUAAUCCACGAACUCAACAAAAAAUGAACACUUUAGUCCACGAACUCGAAAAACGCACACUUAAAUCUCUAAAUUGGAACUAUUGUGUCACUUUAGUCCAAACACAGUUCAUCGAGGCUUAAGCCACGUGGCCGUCACGUCAGUUUCGGCAAAGACCGCGGGCUGCUACUCGACUUUCUUAGGAUUUUCUUUUGCAAAAUCACCAUGACCGAGCGCCCGCAAGGGGCAAGGCGGACACGCCCAAACGGGGAUCCUGGGGCACAAAGAACCACGUUGUUGCAUCCGCCGCCUCGUCUAAGGUUGCUAUCAAGCCCAGAAUACUCAAUUUUGAAGAGAGGACGCCGCUGAAGGGGUCGCCGAAGGCGGCGUGGUGGCCAUGUGGCGUGAUUAAGCCUCGCGGAACCAAUUUUGGACUAAGUGACACAGUAGUCUCAGUUUCAGAGUUUAAGUGUGUAUUUUCUGAGUUCGUGGACUAAAGUGUUCAUUUUUACCGAGUUCAUGGACUAAUGGCGUAUUUUACUCUUAUGAAAUCUACAUGACAUACAUGAUCGACAAUUUGGCACGGACUAGCAGUACUGAACACGUUGUUACAUUGCAUAUGACAAUUAAGUGAGAUUGUUUCAUUCACUAGUUCACAAUUACUUAGUAGAAAACCAAAUAAAAACUGUUACAACAUGCUCACAAUAGUAUCAGAGAAUAAUACCAUGCCGUCUCGGUUACACUAGACAGAUGCUACCGAAGAGAAGAACAUUGUUGAAGUUCUCUGCACAUGUCAUCGCCGUCACACAUCACUCUUUUUGAACUGGCAACUUUGACUUCACGAUGCAUGAUCAUGCAUCAACGAAACUUUGUUGCAAUAAUCGCACAAAGUUCACUUCGGCCCAUGUCACCAGUGUCGGCCAUCUACGUAGACGUUUGCCAAGUUUGAUUCUGACAACAUGCUUCGAAACAGAAAUAGGCAAGGCUCCCGUGGGUUAGGACCAACUAGACCGUCCAACGUCUCAUUUGCUUAUAUUUAUAUAAGUUCUCUUUUUUGCCCAUCGCUUGUGAUUGUCACCGUUUGGACAAUGACAAGCUCCUGGAUACGCCUUCCUCUCAAAGAAAAAAUAAAAUAGUUAAAUCUCAGUCAACACACUUGAACUGUUGGAUUACGAUUUGGGUGUCACCUCCACUCCCUCCUCUCGCACGCGUUGCCGUUGGGUUAAGAUACGACGGCCAAACUCGUUGACUGAUCUCUCCAUAUCAAGACCAAAUAAAAUUCCUGGCUAUGACUAAACCCUGACACGCGAAACUUUUGAAAUAAAACUCAUGCAACGUACCCGAUCGAUUGCAAGCAAAUAAAGCGCUCACCAUUAUUCUGGGGAACACACGGGUACGCGCCCCGCAAUCAGCGCACGUUAGCACGUACACACCCGGAAAGCGACCCGCCAAUCCGCCAUGCGCCCAUGCAUGCAGUGCCGAUCGGGUCAUGCCUUGCAAGGACUUCGAAGCAUAUGUUGAGGUCGGCUACGUCUGAUGAUCGAUCGGAAAGGAAAACCUCGGCUCUCUGGGGCCUCUCCAGCCCUCAACAGGCCGGUUGGCCGGAUCGACUCAUCUGAAAAAUGGUGAUCGAACUGAGUACGCCGCAUAGGUCGAGAGUCGAGACGACCACGUACGAGCCCACGACAAACAUGGACUCUGAUGGGUGAACUGCAGGUGGCACUUUCAUGUUUCGUACGUGCGCGAUAAUGCGUGGUGGGCAGCCUGAGACGCAGUGGUGGAUAUGUCAUGUCGGCCGGGCCAGGCGCCGUGGACGUUCUCGGUUGUUGUUCGUGCGGCCGGCCGGAAGUGCAUGAUUGCGCACUCUGGGUCGGAAUCGGCUGGGCGUGGGGUCCCGGCGAGUGUCGCCGGCGCUGCUGCUGAUGAGUGACGACGGGUGACACGACAGGCCUGAUGACUUCGUUUCAGCUAAGAACAUGACUCCUUUUUUCUAGCCCAUGCAUGCGUGCGUACGUACGUGCCACACAUCGGCCAUGCCAUGCACGCGAACUCGGCGACUCCACUAGUCCACCGCGACGCGACACUGCCUGUGGCUGAAGAUCGAGAUUUCAAACGAAGCAGCACGUCCCGCCCCAGCCUAGCUACUACGGAGUAUAGUACUUUUUUGAAUGGGGAGUGAUGGGCUCAACCUGGCUAGCUAGCUAGAGUACUGCAAAGUGCAAACGCAUGCAAAUGCAAACUGGCGUACUGGCACUCUCGAAGGCCAGUACGUACUCCAUCCAGCCAUGGACAAGCCUUGGGCCCUCCUCUCCCGCUUAGCCCCUGUGACGCCUUUCAGUCUGUCUGUGUCCGGCCGUCGAUCGAUCGAUCGAGCUGAGCCGAGCAGAAGAAUGCCAAGAAGAUAUAUCGCCCGAACCGCAGCUAGCUAGCCUACGUGAUUUUGGUACAAUGAUUGGCGAUUCGCUUGCUACGGCCGGCUGGCACUGUAUAAAUGGAGCUGCACGGCGCAGACUGCUGACGAUCGAGCUGGGGCGAGCUGCAUAUGCGACGACGAUCUCUGCCUGCUCUUGUUGGCAGGGGCUCAUAUAUAUGGCCUGUUGCUACACUGAGAGCGUUGUGAAACUGUAGCAUGCAGGUAUCCGCUGUGUGCCUUUCCUACUACUCGUAUGUUACUCUGACUUCU